GGAAGCUAAACCAAGAAGGCUUAAGUCCUAUUCACCUUGCAGUGGAAAAGGGGCAUAAAGAACUGGCGCUACAUCUCUUGCAAAACGAUAAAAAUCUUGUUCGUGUCAAAAGGAAGCAGGGUGAGACUCCUUUGCACUAUGCACUAACUAGAGAACAAAAUAUUGAUCUCUUGGCAUGCGACCAAUCAAAUUGCAAGGCUGAUAAGCAUGCGACCAAUCAAAUUGGUUCAACGGCACUGGCUGUUGCAAACGAACCUAAUUACAUAGAGAGCAUCAAUAUUUUGCAUGGUUGGGGAAGUGCAAGAGUUUUAAACUUUCAAUAUAAAAUUCAGAAACAAAUGGUUAAGCAUGUGACAAAGGCAUCAGAAGUAAUUUUUCAAGGUAUGGACAGUAUAUCAAGUGAGGAUAGUAAUUUUAGGAUUGCUUCUAUCAGCUACCUACCAAGCCAGUAUUAGCCCGCCUGGUAGUGUUUGGCAAGGUGAUAGCUCCUCAAAAUCCAAUUCCACUCCGGGAAAAGCGGCCAUGAAUCAAGGUGAUUUUCUUCUUUUCUAUAUUCCAGCCUCUACUGUCUUCAUUGUAGCGUUUUUCCUAACAUUAGGCCUCCUUAAACCUUUUCCUCGUGGUUUCAGGACUGCUCUUCAAGUAUUACUUGCAUUUCUUGCUACAUCCUUCAAUGAAUCAAUACUUAUCAUAGCGCCAAGUUCUGCAGCAACUAUAGUUAUCACUUUGUUUACAGUGUUGGUUUUUAUUUUGAUGAUGGUCAUGUGUAUUGCUUACCAGGUAUCAAAAAUUAGCGUUUUAAUUCUAGGAUGCUGGUUCGUGAUUGGUUAUGGUCCAUUGCAGAUAGGAACCUUUUUAAUUAUAGGGUGCUGGUUAUUCCUCGGUCUAUAUGAUUCAUUCUGGAUAGGAUCCAUUUUAGUUUUAGUAUGCAUUUCAGUAAUAUAUGAGUUUUCUUACAUCUGGAUUGUAGUUGUUAUAGUUCUGUAUCCUUGUUUUUACUUGGUCUAUUUCUAUUCUGGAUGGAAGCAGUACAAUGAGAAUGUUCGUCAACAUACCACCCUUAAAAAUUUCUGGACGCCUAACGUUGAAUGAAACUCUAAAGAUGGCUACCACUGCAUCUAGAUAUUUCCUGUUGCCAGUUCUUGUAUCUUUAUUUGUUGUAUCAUAAUGUACCACCAAUAAAUUCAAUUCCUCCUGUACAAAACCAUCUCCACUUUUCAGCUUAUCUGUAUUGUACUUUAUUUCGCUUAUAAUUUGGGCUGAUAUGUUAUUAAUACUCCUUUCUAUUUAAAUUAAACUUUACAUUUGACUAAUCACAAAUUUUUUUAAAAAAAAAUUAUGAUUUUAGUAUUUAUUGUAAAUUAUUUUAUAUAUAGUAUUAGUAAAGCAUAUUGUUUUUAAUUUCAAAACAGUAAAUAUAUGUUAACCCUCUUGUACUUUUUCUGUGUUCUGGACUAUAUAUAACACAUUAACCCUCUGGACCACUCUUGGUCUAACAGCAUUUCUCCUCUAAGGUGGUUCUAUUGCUUUCCUAUUGGUCCAAAUGGACUACAUCUCUGUCCCUCGUCUUUAUUAUGUUGCUGUUAUUGCCGUUUCCUAGAUUUGUUUAAGGGGAGACUGAGAGCAUAAAUGAAGCAUGCAUUUGCUUCAUAUGCAGAGGCAGAGCUAAAGUGGAAGGAAAUUUACAUUGAAAUAUUCUAUUUUUCGGUUGCUGCACUGUGCUUUACUGUAAUCAUGCUGCAAAAUUGAUUAAAUUCGUAGAUAAAAAGUAUUUAGGAACCCAACACUUUUUAAGUCUAAUGUUCAAUGUAGAUCCAAUCCUCAUUUUGAUAUCACUUUUUAGCAUGGUAUUGUUCCUUAUCAUUUUAUUAAAAGAAAGUUGGUACUGGAUAUUGAUAUUUUGUUAUUUCAAUUUGCAGCUACCAUGCAACAAAAAUUACACACGGGUAAUUGUUUACGUAAUCAAAUUAUUGUCAUGAGCAAAAAACUAUAACAUUGACAAACAGAGUCUUUUUCUUUUGUAAAUUUUGUUUAUCAUGAGACAAUUGAAGUACAAUGGUCACUUAUAAAAAAAAUUGAUUUUUUUUUCCACUUGUUAAAUGGGUUAAUUGGCUAACCUGACCAUUUCAUGAUGUAGAUAGCUAGCAGAUGACAAGUAAUUUUAGGAUCAUAGGAAUAAUAUGAUUUUUUUUUUAAUUUAUUUGGAUGACAAGUAAGUAUAAGUUUGGGAAUUUACUUUUCUUAUAUUUCAAAGAAGUUUAGGGUCGAAUACAUUUUUGUUUAAAUUUACUUUACUUGCACUUUAAAUUUAAGUUAAGUAAGAUUAGGGUAUUAUAAAAAAAAACCCUUAGAUUUAGUUAUUAGGGAAUUAAUAUAUUUUUUUGAAUAAUUGAAUAGCAUUAUAUUUUUUGUUAAAAUUUGAGUGUAAAUUUUUGCGUUUAAAACUUAAUUUGGUUAUCAACCUUAAAGGCUUUGUCGAGUGUUAGUUUUUGUUUUCAUUCUAACUCAUUCUAUCAUUUCAAAAUUUGAAAAUUGAACCAAAAUUAAAGUGGCGUUUCCACAAACAUAACAAAAGCAUUUUUUAAAGUUCACCUAAUUUUAGGGAUUGGUUAUUCAAUUUUGAAAUAUAUUGAAGAUUGAGAGCACUAGUCAUUCAAACUUGUACAACGUGUUUGGUUGAGGGGAAUGGCAUAGUCAUUCACCUAAUAUUCCUAAUACCAGUCAAAUCAAUCAUUUGUUUCGUGAUGGCCAUUCCUUGAGAGGUUGGAAUAGGUAUUGUCAAGGCCCUCUACGAUAAUGUCUAUUCCAAUCCAAUGAGCACAAAAAAAUAAAAUAAAAAAAACCAAUGCAUAGAAUCUUAACUCUUCAAAAGAUAUUAAAAAAACUACAACAAAUAAAAUUUUAAAAUAAAUUAAUUUUUUGAAACGACUUCAAAUAGUAAAGUGAUUUUUGCAUUAUGAAUCCAAUACAUUGCAAUCAUUGAAUCUAAUUCAAUAAUUAAUUAAUGACCUCUUUCCCAACCAUGAUGAGUGAUAAAAAAUUUCAAGAGCCAUCUCUCCCUUUCUUUGACUUCACGCAAUCCUAAAGUGUUGUCGUCACAUUGAUUUUUUACUCUUAUGAGCAGUCCAUAAGUUUUGAAAAUUACAUAGCCACAUGUGCUAUCCCGCCUUGAAUAUACAUUAAAACCAGAUUCAAGUAGAGAGAGAGAGUUGUCAUCAUAGUGGUCCAAACUAUCGAAAAUUUUAUAAUAUAUACUACUGUUUUACCACGAAAACUACUUUAUUCGGCCUUUUCUGUUUUUUAAUCUUUCCCGGUUGACUAAAAAGCACUGAGGUUUUUCCUUGUAAGUUCGUCAAGGUACUCCUGUGCAGUGCACCCUCUCUUUAUACUCAAAGUGUAGGGUAGAUGCAAAUUCUGGAGGGCCUUAACUAAGAAUGAAGGCACGCGCCUUACAGCGCGACUGACAAAAAUCAACCAUUUCCGAGGCCAAUUGUUAUACAAACGGAACCAGUCUCCUCUUUCCUUCUCACUCUUGUUUACUUCAUUCUCUUUCUACUCUAUAUCUGCAAUAAAUCGACUAACCCUUUCAGUUAUUUUCCAAAGAUUAUUAUUCAAUCUUACCGAUGGAUGAAAGGUUGAGGAGUGCAGCUCAAUCAGGAAAUAUAGAUGCCUUGUAUGAUUUAAUCGAAGGUGACGCGGAUGUUUUACGACGCAUCGAUGAGAUGGAGUUCGUUGAUACUCCACUGCACAUAGCUGCAGCUGAAGGGCACACUGAGUUUGCAAUGGGGUUGAUGAACUUAAAGCCAUCAUUCGCUAGGAAGCUCAACCAACGCUGCUUUAGCCCCAUUCACCUAGCCUUGCAAGAGAAACAAGAAAAGAUGGUGGAUGAUCUCCUAUCAAUUGAUAAAGAUCUUGUUCGCGUCAAAGGGAGGGAGGGUUACACUCCUCUUCAUCAUGCAGUCAGCGAAGGAAAUGUUCCGCUUCUGUCUAAAUUUCUGGAGAAUUGCCCCAAUUCUAUCUUUGAUUCGACUAUUCGAAAAGAGACUGCUCUGCAUAUUGCAGCACAAAAUAAUAAUUUAGAAGCUUUCCAAGCCAUACUGUUUUGGAUUCAGAAGACACGCGAAUGCCACAACAUGGAGAAAAGAAGAAUCCUAAACUUACAGGACAAGGAUGGAAACACUGUGCUGCACAUAGCCGCAUCAAAUAACCAAACCCAGGUACCAUUUUUCUCAUCCUAAGAGAAAUGAGAAUUUAUUGGCAUAGUGUUAUAUAUCAUUUGCCAAUUAGUUGUGGAUUUUAUAUACGCAGAUGAUCAAACUGUUAAUAGAAAGCCAGAAGGUUGAUAGCAAUGCGGUUAAUCAGAGUGGUUUUACAGCUUUGCGUGUCUUACAAGAACAAGCUCGAGUUGACAGCGGAGAGAGUGUGAACAUUCUGAAACGGGCUGAAGAUCCAGUCUCUCCACUGUCAGUAUUUACCAAAUCAUCUAUGGAGACGGAUUUGGACCAACUGUCGUAUGAUAUUUCGAAGAUGAAUAUAGAUACAAUCAAUGCGUUGCUAGUCGUAUUUGCUCUGAUUCUAACGAUGACUUACCAAGCUCUUCUCAGCCCGCCGGGUGGUGCUGAAGCUGCGGGGAAGUCAGUCCUCAAGCCUUACAUGUUUAUUUUGUUCUAUACUUCAAAUCUCGCAGCUUUUGCAAUUACGUGGUUUUUAGCAGUGUUCAUCAUCCAGACAGUUGCCAGCAAAAUCGCACGUUUUGUGGCUAUACUAUUCAUUUUGAUCUGGUUUUGCUACAUUGUUGCACAUGUUAUCAUAUCGCCACCGCCAUAUGCCGGUUGGGUUGCUUUUGCUGCUGCUUACAUAAUUGGCAGCUCACUUUUUGUAAUUGGCAUGCGUAUCCGUCGCAAAAGAAAUUAAUUUCUUACUUUAUAAAUAUUGAAUUUAAUACCCUUUUUAUAAUUUAUAUAAAUCAAAUUUUUAUAUUUUUAAAAUUUAUUAAUGUUAGUCCAGUUGCUAAUACUAUUAAAAUUCUUCUACUGAAAUCAUUGACAUGGUAUUGAUUGUUAAAUGAGAAUUGUAAAUAAAUAGCGCUAGAUAUAAGCAAGAAUAAAGAAUCGGAAUCAGGAUGGAAGAAGAAGACCACUUGCAAAUAAAUGAAGAAGACUGAGUUGAGCAGUGCGCACCAUUUUGUGAAGCAAGGAAGAAGGAAAUCUGAAGUGCACCGUUUCGCUUAUGCACUGUCUCUCAACUGCUGUUUUUAGAAUUUCAUCUGUUAUUUUAUUCCUUACAAAUGUUAGUUAGUUGUUAGUUGUUUUAAUUAACUAAGUUUUCCCUCUUCAUCACCAGAUUAACUAAGUUUUCCCUAUCGUUUUAAUUCUCAUGGAUUCAAUUCCAACAUUGGAUAAAGUCUGUAGCUUGGUAUUCAGAGAAGAGACAUAUAGGAAUCUUAUAUUUUAGUCACUUGGAUAAAGUCUGUAGUUUGGUACUUGGAUUUUUUUAAUGAAAGGUCAAUUAUUCCCCCUUUUAACAAUUUUGUUCAAAGACAAUACAACACUUCAAUCAAAUGCUUAACGGCAAAGAAUUUGACCUAACUGAUUUUUAUGCAAGAAUUGCCAUAAUUCAUCACUUGUCCUGCAUUGAUACUCCAAAACAAAAUGGAGUUAUAGAAAGGAAGCACCAGCACAUCCUAGUAGUGGCAAGGUUCCUUAUGCAUCAGCCAAAGCUCCCAAUUCACUUUUGGGGAGACACAAUGCUUAUUAACAUUCAUAUCAUUAAUAGAAUACCAACCAAGGUCCUUAAAAACAAGUCACCAUAUCAACUACUGCACAGCAAGCCACUAGCCUAUGACUACUUUAGAGUUUUUGGAUGUUUGUGCUUUGUUCCACACUAGCACAUAACAGAAAAAAUUUUGAGAGUAGAGCCAAUAAAUGUGUUUUUAUAGGAUAUUCGAACUAUGUAAAAGGGUAUAAAGUCUAUGAUAUGGAUGCACAUAAAGUCAUAACACCAAGGAAUGUUGUUUUCCAUAAGAAUGUAUUCCCUUUCAACCUUUCACAGCAUGAUUCACGAUAUUCUGCUUUUUAUCAAACACAUGGUAUGCAUUCUACGUCCGUGAAUGAUUUUGACUUUGACCUAACAAGUUCUCCUUUACAUGAGCACAUAUCAACUGAAUUACAUGUAAAUGACCCUUCAUCCAGUGCAGAACAUGCUACCACAUUAGAAAAUGAUAGCCAUUCAUAUAUUCCAUCACCUAUACAUAGUAUGCACAUUGAUGAACCUAAAACAGAAAAUGAUGUUGACCUUGUUGACCCAAUCCAACCACUUAGGAGAAGCUCUAGACAUGGACAAACACCUAAAUACCUGGUAAGUACUACACUGAACUACCACCUCAUAAAAAUUCAACCACACCAUACCUAUAACCAAUUACCUAUCAUGUCAAAACCUGUCACCAACACAUAGAGCCUUCACUAUGCCCAUGUCAUAUAUCCAUGAACCAAGUUCUUACCAAGAAGUUGCGAGCCAUUCACAUUGGAGAGAUGCUAUGGAAGUUUAGCUGAGGGCUUUGGAGGAUAAUCAAAUGUGGAGUAUAGUACCAUUGCCUUAAGACUCCCAUACAAUUGGAUAUAAAUGGGUAUACAAAGUCAGGUUGAGAGCCAAUGGAGAUAUAGAGAGAUACAAAGCUUGUCUAGUAGCUAAGGGAUACAACCAAGUUGAAGGUUUUAACUAUCAAGAAACCUUCAGUCCUGUGGCAAAACAAACCACAAUCAGAGUAUUCCUUGCCUUAGCAGCAGCAAACAAAUGGACAUUAUCUCAACUUGACAUAAACAAUGCAUUCUUGAAUGGAGACUUGGAGGAGGAGUGUAUAUGGAACUCCCACAAGGAUGAUGUUGGAUCAAAAUUAGUUUACAAGCUGCACAAGUCCUUUUAUGGACUUAAACAAGCAUCCGAGCAGUGGAAUGCCAAGCUUACAGCAUCCAUUUGAAAGUAUAGUUCAAGCAAUCAAUUUCAGAUUAUUCCUUAUUCAUUAUGAAGAAAGAAAAUGGAGAUUUUAGUGCUCUAUUGGUCUAUGUAGAUGACAUUAGAGUGGGAAGCACAUCAAGCAAAGCAUAAAAUAAUGUAAAGGAAUAUCUAAAAUCACAGUUUAUGUUAAAAGACCUAGGUUCAUCAAUCAACACUAGGUAUAUCCAUAUGUCAGAGGAAAUAUACCUUGGAUUUGUUAGAAAGUCAAGGCUUACUUGGAUUCAAACCUACAUCAACACCAAUAGACUACAACCAUAAACUGAGCAGGGCUGCAAAGGAAGAAAAAUUAAAUGAUCAAACCAGUUAUAGACAAUUGAUAGGAAAGCUUUUAUACCUAACAUUCACAAGGCCAGACAUCACAUAUGCAGUCCAAGUUCUUUCUCAGUUCAUGGAGAAACCAAAAAAGAAACACCUCACAGCAGCUCAUAGAGUGCUAAGAUAUUUAAAAAAAGCUUCAGGGCAAGGGAUUUUGAUGAAGUCAGAUUCCAAGUUAAAGAUCUUUACCUAUUCAGAUAGUGACUGGGUAGGUUGUCUAGAGAUUCAAAGAUCCAUAAGAAGGUAUUGCAUAUUUGUUGGGGAGUCAUUGGUAAGCUAGAAAUCAAAGAAGUAACAAGUAUGAGCCGGAAGAUCAACACAAGAAGAGUAUAGGUCCAUGGCUACCACAUGUUGUGAAGUCAUUUGGAUGAAAUCCUUGCUAACUGAUCUUGGAGUCAUGUCAUGAUGAAACAAUAAAUCUUUAUUGUGACAAUUAGUCAAAACUACUGAUGAAGCACAUAGAAAUGGAUUGCCACUUCAUAAGGGAGAAAGUCCUAACUGGAAUCACCAGACUAGUAUACGCACCAACUGAGCUGCAGGUUGCUGAUUUAUUCACUAAGGCACUGUAGCCAAGGCAAUUUUGCAACUUGAUGAACAAGAUGAACGUUCUCAAUGAUCACGCUUCCUCUUGAGGAAGAGUGUUAAAUGGGAACUGUAAAUAAAAAAUGCUGGAAAUAAGCAAGAAUAAAGAAUAAGAAGUAGGAUGGAAGAUGAAGACCACCUGCGAAUAAGUGAAGAAGACUGAACAGAGCAGUGUUUUGUGAAGCCAGAAAGAAGGAAAUGUGAAGUGCACCGUUUCACUUAUGCCCUAACUCUCAACGUUGCUGUUUCUAAAAAACCUAAGAUACCUGCCAAACACACUCUAAAUCCUAAGUUUAUUUUAUAAUAAACAACAUGAACGCUUAGUUAUUGCAAUGGUUUUUGUUUCUUUUGGCCAAGCUUAGGUAUUGCAAUUAAAAUAAAAGAGUAUGAGCACUUGUAGUUAAUAUAAGCACAUGAGAGGGCUUUAAUACGUGAGCAAUGUAAGAACAAAUAUUUUGCUUUAAAAGAAAAAAGUUCAGUAGCAACGAUAGGUAGAGUACAUGUAUUUCUUCUAUUACUGUGCUUUUAGUCUUCUGGUAGUUGCUGUGCUAAUUAUAAUAGCCACUCUCCAAGCUUCAUUUAGUCCACCUGGAGGUGUUUUGGCAGGGAGAUAACAGUAGUUCAUCUACCUCAGAGGCUGUUAGCUCCAAUACCCCCAAAAUUAUUAACGCCACUAGAGAAGGAAGUUCAAUUUCACAAGCAUUACCCUGUCAAGGGACAACAGUAAUGGGAACUCUUCUAUAAUUAUUUUGGGAUGAAAGACUAGGGCAAUUUCAAUCCGACUUUCAAGAUAACUUCUCAUCGGGGAUUUAUAUCAUUUUAUAAUUAUUUUCAUCUCAAUUUUACAAUUAUUAAAUUUUAAUUAUUUUUAAAACAUGUACAUUUAUUAAUCACAAAAUACUUAAUCGACUGUACUAGAUUUAUAUAUAUAUAUAUAUAUAUAUAUAUACAUGGAAAGAUAAGUAUGAAAAAACAACUUUUUUAUUUAAAAUUCAAAAUAUCCUACAAUAAUUGUGCUUCUAAUAUAAUAUGAUUUAAAUUGGUAAUGUCAAUCUAGUUAAAUGAAUUAAAAUGCAAAAGUUAAAGUAAAUUGGAAGGAACAAAGGCCGAUUGUGUAAGAUUCCUUUGCCCUAGCUUUAGAAGUUCUCCAAUAAAGAAUGUAAAAGAGAUGUUAUACAUGCUCUGCUUUUCUUAAUCUGCACGCCUAGCAUCUUUGCCAUUGAACUAUGGCCUAUGGCUGAUACUAUUAUUUAAAAUAAAAAAUAAAGUUUUGUUACAAAUCCUUAGAGUACUUUUUAAAGUUAAUUAAUAUUUUUAUUUAUAGUAAUACUUUUGUUAUAAAUUCUAAUGUAUUAGACAAAUAUAUUACUUAAUAUUAUAACUUUAAAAAGUUUUUUUAAAGUACUAACUUUCUAAAUCCGAUAAAUAAUAAUAUAAAAUUUACAAUUAAUGGCAAAAGCUGCAUUAAAAUAUUUUGUGAUCAGCAUUCUUCCACAUAAUCUUUUUAUUUGUAAUAUAUAUAUAUAUAUAUAUAUAUAUAUAUAUAUUUGUGUAUAUAAUAUAUAUUUCUUUUUGGAACACAUGACAUGCUUAAUACCAUCUUGGUUUAAAAGUACAAUAAUGUAAGGGGCAAUGAAAAUUGUUUAGGAGAUUGCACAUCAGCCAAAAGCAAAAUUCAAAGCCAACCAAUACUCAAAAUUUUAUGCUUGUUGUCGAUCUUUAUGGAGGCUAAAAGACCCUGACAGAGAAUUUGAGAAUAUCUUAGCUUCCAAGAUUGUUGCCAAAAAAAGUGAAGCAGACGAACACCCUUUAGUAGUUUAUUUGUCAAUGCAUGGAUAACGCUGUUGCAGCAGAUUUUUACAGGCUUCAUGGCUAGGGUAUUGAGGGAAGCUGCUCGAGCAGGAAACAUCGACGCCCUAUACGAGCAAUUUCAAGAAGAUCCACACCUUUUGGAGACCAUCGAUGCGGUUCCUUUCAUUGAUACUCCUCUGCACGAAGCUGCAGCUGCAGGGCAAGUUGAUUUUGCAGUGGAGAUGAUGAACUUGAAGCCAUCGUUUGCCUCAAAGAUUAAUCCAGAUGGUUUUACCCCAUUGCACCUUGCUUUGCAAAAACACCAAACUCAGUUACUAUAUGAGCUACUGAAAAUCAACAAAGACCUGGUUCGAGUCAAGGGGAAAAAAGGUGUGACCCUUCUGCAUUACGCAGCUGAACUAGGAGACAUUGAUCUUUUGGCUAAGUUUCUUGUAGCUUGCCCUCAAUGCAUCAAAGAUGUGACUGUUGGCGGUAAAACUGCUCUGCAUAUUGCGGCAGAAAACAACCAUGUUGAAGCGCUUGAAGUCCUGGCACGUUGGCUACGACGGACUCACAACAAAGAUGGUGGAUUCUGGGAAAUUGAAGUCAUGAACUGGAAAGACAAGGAUGGCAACACAGUAUUGCACGUAGCUGCAGCCAACAGCCAAAAUCAAGCAGAGGCACGAUCUAAUAAUCCUCUCUCAUUAACUAUACUAAAUAAGUCUAAAUUUUUUUUCCUUAUGUUAACUUAAUUUGUCAAUAAACAGACAUUUGUUUUUUCUUUUUUCUUAUAUGAAUCUAUGGAGCAGAUGAUAAGACUCUUGUUGGAAUGUGGAAUUCGAAGGAACAUAAUCAAUUUGAAUGGUUUGACGGCUCUGGAUGUUUUACAAUGCCAAGGGCAAGUCGACAACAGGAAGGCUGUGGACAUUCUAAGACAGGCAGGAGGUUUAAAUGCUUCCUCAAUUCCAGAAUCCACACCCUUGGCUGAGCUCUUUAGUUCAAAGGUUGAAUUUUCUGAGAGAUUAAUGAUAAUUGUAACUCGGGCCAGACUCAAUAUACCAAGUGACACACGCAAUGCGUUCCUGGUACUAGCCGGGUUAGUAAUAACAGCAACCUACCAAGCCAUUUUCAACCCGCCCGGCGGUGUUCGACAAGCUGAAGCAGGUCCCACUCAGGUUCCGAGCGGAGCAGGUAGAUCAGUUAUGGAUACAAAUAGUUUUCUUUGGUUUUAUGUUCCAAACACUGCAGCAUUUCUCACCACACUUUUCCUUACGGUUCUGUUUCUGAUAAUUGGUCCUAAUGGUGAAUUGGUUCUCUUACCGCUGCUGCCAUUGGUCAUUUGCUAUGUCAUGUCGACGCUGGUCAUAACCCCAACUGCAACGUUUACUUAUUACAUUUGGCUUACUUUGGUGAUUGCUGUUGCGUCUGGGUGUUGGUUAUUUGGGGCUCAUCUAUAUUGGCUUCUGAAAAUAUGGAAGGUUAACAAGAGUUCGGGAGAACUCACCCUCUCAGUGUUAUCUUAAGAGGGGUGGAAACAUACACGUCCUCUAGCUUUGGCCUUUGCAUAGAUAGAUGUUCUCAGCAUAGAAUGUUGAGAUGAAUUUAAAAAUGUUGAUUGAAUUUAUUGCGAUUUUUCUAGAGAAAUGUUCAUUUUCAUAUCCCCUGGCGCCAUCCAUGGCAUCCUUUUGCUAAUUAUUUCCAUUAUCAUCAUAAUGUAAAAUCGUUUACCCUUCAAAUGCUUGUUUGCAAUUUUGGGUUUGCAUCUUGCUUAGGCUUGGACUAAAGGCUGGCCCAAGCUUUUCUUUUCUAUUUUUUUUCGCUAAAUAGUCCCAUCUAAUCUAACUCAUAAAGCUCAUAAGAUUUUUCAAAAACUUAUGUGUACUGUAAGGUACUAUAUAACGUUUAUAUUUAUAAGUGAUAGAUUUUUAUAUAACUUUUUUUAUAAUUAAAUAUUUUAAUAUUAUAAAAAAACUCAUUAACAACCCACUAAGCAUGCUCAAAUGCAUAAAGACAAGCACGUAUAUAACAAAAAUAUCCAAUUCUCUAUAUUGUCCUUUGUAUCAAUUGGAGAUAGGAGACGCUGGGAGGGAAUUAAGAAUCUUAAUCCGCAUCAGUUGAGUUUUGUCCAGGGCACUCAAUGGGACUUUUGAAUAUCAUAUGGUCGCAAGUGCUAUCCAGCCUUCAAUAUAUAUUUUAAAAACCAGGAUAAAGUAAUGAGAGAGAGUUGUCAUCUUAGUGCUCCUAAUUAUUGAAAAUUUUAUAACAUAUACUACUUUUUUUUCCAAGAGAACUCCUUUAUUCUACCUUUUCUGUUUUUUAAUCUUUCCCGGUUGACUAAACGCCACCCACGUUUUUCCUUGUAAGUUCGUCAAGGUACCGCUAUGCAUCCUCUCUUUACUCUUUCAAUUGCUGUUUCAACUACACUCUAAUUAGCCAAAGCCCUCACUACCUAUCAAUUUAUCGUUGUUCUAAGCCUUCUCACCUCACUGUGAUUACCGGAUGGAUGGGAGCUGCUCAACUCUUUAUUUUUAAGUGAAUUUCCUCCAUGCUUUCUUAAUUACACUUUUCUGUUUUCGGCCUGUCAUUGUAAUUUCGCUAAUCUUGUUAUGGAAGAAAGUUUGAGGAGGGCUGCUCAAGAAGGAAACAUCGUUGAAUUAUAUGCAUCAAUCCAAAGAGAUGGAGUUUGUCAACACUCCAUUACACAUAGCUGCAGCUGAAGGGUGCAUUGACUUUGCAAUGGAGAUAAUGAUCUUAAAGCCGUCAUUUGCUAGGAAGCUAAACCAAGAAGGCUUUAGUCCCAUUCACCUCGCAGUGGAAAAGGGGCAUAAAGAGCUGGCGUUACAACUCAUCCAAAAUAAUAAAAAUCUUGUCCGUGUCAAAGGAAAGCAAGGUGAGACUCCUUUCCACAAUGCAAUAACGAGUGAACAAAAUCUUGAUCUCUUAACUAGAUUUCUGGAGGCUUGUCCUGAAUGCAUCCAAGAUAUGACAACUAAAAACGAGACUCCUUUGCACAUUGCAACGGGAAACAAUAGAUUAGAGGCUCUUGAACUCCUCUGCCGGAUGCUUAGGAAGAGUGACUAUUGUCAGGAUGUGGUGAACCAAAAAGACAGGAAUGAAGACACUGCCUUGCACAUAGCUUGACGAAAUAAUCAACCCCAGGUCGGAUCUCAUCCCUCUAACUAAUUUUACUUUUACUAAAAAAUGAAUGGAUUCUGUAAUUGGUAUUGUAUUUCAUGGUCAAUUGAUUGUGGCUUUUAUUUAUGUCUCAAUACUCUCAAUCAAGCAGAUGCUCAAACUGCUAUUAAACUGCAAGGCUGAUAAGCUUAAAACUAAUCAGGCUGGUUCGACGGCACUGGCUAUUGCCCACGAACUUAAUAACAGAGAGAGCGUUAAUAUUCUGCGUGGUUGGCGGAGGGCAAGAGUUCAAGAACAAAUGUUUAAGACUGUGACGAAGGAAUCAGAAGUAAUUUUUUUGGGUAUGGCAAGGUGAUAGCUCCUCAAACUCCAAUUUCACUGUAGGAUAUGAUCAAAAAUUUCCGGGUACAUCGGUCAUGGAUGAAGUUGAUUUACUUCAAUUUUAUAUUCCAGCCUAUACUGUCUUCAUAGUAGCGUUUUUCCUAACAUUGGGUCUCCUUAAACCUUUCCCUCCUGGCUUCAGGACUUCUCUUCAAGUACUUCUUGCAUUUCUUGCUAUAUCCUUCGACCAAUCAAUAACUUUCAUAUCGCCAACUGAUUUAGCAUAUCUAGUCAUCUGUACAUUUUCAACAUUGGUUUUUAUUUGUACGAUGUUCAUGUGUAUUGCUUACCGAGUAUAAAAAAUUAGCGUUUUAAUUCUAGGAUGCUGGUUAGCACCUGGUAUGUAUGGUCCAUCUUGGAUAGGAAUCCUUUUAAUUACGGAGUUCUGCUUAUUUCUCGGUCUAUAUGAUCUAUUUUGGAUAGGAUCCAUUUUAAUUCAAAGAUGCAUUACAGCAAUAUUUGAAUUUUAUUACAUCUUGAUUGUAGAUAUAAUAGCUCCAAUGUUGGUCUGUUUUUACUUGGUCUGUUUCUAUUCUGCUUAGAAGUAACACGAUGAGAACGUUGGUUGACAUCGCACCCCUCAAGAUAUACGGACACCUAAUGUUGAAUGAAGACAUAAAAAGAUGGCUGCCCCUGGAUCUAGAUAUUUCCAAUUCCCGGUUCUGUAUCUUUAUUUGUUGUAUCACAAUGUACCGCCCAUAAAUUCAGUUCCUCCUGUAUAAAAUCAUCUCUACUUUUUAGUUUAUCUUUUGUUUUACUUUAUUUCGUUUAUAAUUUGUGCUCAUAUGUUAUUAAUAUUCUUUUUGUUUUAAAUUAAACUUUGCGUUUUCACUUAUCAUAAAAAUUUUGACAAAAAAUAUUAGCAUUUAUUGUAAAUUAUUUUAUGUAUAGUAUUUUUUUAAAAAAAUUAUCUUUAAGUAAUAGACUUUGGGGUUAAGGUUUUUUUUAUUUUUGUUGUCAUUUACUUCUGUUGGUGUGGAGGGGAUCCAGUCUUGAGAUCCCAAAGAGUAUUAUCUUGGGUCCUGCGCAGAGGCGGAGGGAGGGGGAGCUAGCAGGGCCCCCGCCCUUUCCAAAGAUGUUAAAAGUUUAUAAUUUUUUUAUUUUGUUUUAAAUAUUUAUAAUUUUACUCUUAAUUGUACACUGCUACUUCUGCGGGCCAGGCCUUGGUGCCACCACAAGUCUCCUGUAACAGGGCCGGUGACUUGAUGUCUCCAUUUAGGGAAGAAAAUCACUGGCAACGUAACUGUUCGGGUUGUUAAUAGGUUAAGUAGUAUUAUAAUUAAAAUAGUAAUACUAAUUGAAAAUUUUUUAUUUAAAUAUAUUAGAAAAGUAUUAAAAAUAAAUUCAAUAUAAUUUUAUUUUAAAAAUUAUUAAAUAUCAUCAUUAGUAAAAUUAUGUUAUUAUUAUUAUAAUACCCCUCACAAAAUAAAUCAAUAAAAUAUUUUUUGAAAAUAAAGUAGAUAUAUUUUAAUUAGUGUCAGAUUACGUUAUCACAUUUAAAAGAAAAUCAAUCAAUUUUACCUUAUUGUAUUUAAAAAAAAACAAUCAAUUAAUCUUAUCAUGUUUUAAAAUAAAAAUAAUCAAUUUUAUCUCAAUACGUUUAAAAGAAAAGGCAAAAAACUCAUGUUAGUUUAUUUCAUUGGAUUCAAACGAUAGGCAAUCAGAAGAGCUUAACACCAAGGAAGAAGAAAGACAGAGGAAACAGAAAAUUAUUCAAGGGAUUUCUGAUUAAAAUAUGUUUAGGGUUGUAUUUCAUAGUUUGGAUACAAAAAUUUCAAAUUAUUUAUAUGUUUUAAAAUUUUAUUUAAACCCAAUACUUUUUCGAUGACUUUCUGGUGGCAUAAUGAGUACCAAUGGAAAGGUCUUGAAAUAUCUUUUCAAUGAUUUUUAUAGCAUCUCGUUUGGUCUUACGGUUAGGAAAAUAAGAAUUUUUGAAAUUAAUUGAAAAUCUAGUUUUUAACAGUUUUAACAACCCAACUUUGAAUAACCAGAACUUCAUAUUCCGGUAACAUUUUUGAUCGUUUCUUUGAGGGUUUUUGUAGUAUGAAAUGAGAUGUUUAAUUUGGUGUCAAUGGCUUGGUUAGGAGCUUUCUGUGUUAAUAGAAUUAAAACCUCAAAGUAAGCUCAUUGACAAUGAAAAUCUAAAAGUCUGAGUAUUUUUGUAAUGAUUUUGAGAAUUUUGACUUUCAAAACUUGAGAAUUUUGUGUUCUUUUUAAUCAAAAAAUUUUGGUGUUAUAGUAUGAUGUGAAUACUUCAUAUUGGUAUUGAUUUUAUCACUGGAAAUAAUUCAGGUUAAAAGUUAUAAGAGCUUAAAUUAAGUCAAAUGGCCAUCUAGAUUCUAAAAAUUUUAAAAAAUAAAAAAAUUAAUUUUUUUAAAAUAUGAUAUUAAUUAAUAUGUGAUAAAUUAUGUUGUAAACUGCAUAAAUAUUGGAUAUGUGAUUUCUACUGUAUUUUUAUUUCUAAAAGUAUAUAUAUUUACAUUUUAUAAAUUUAUUUCUUAAAUUAGUAAAUUUUAUUAAAAUAUCAAAAUUUAAUGAAAAAUUAUAAAUAUGAUUUUUUUAUGAAUGAAAUUAGUGUGAUCUUUCUAUCAGAAAUUAAAAAUCUUUCCUGAUUUUAUUAUUUAAGUUUAAAUUCUCAACUUUAUUUGAAAUUUUAUUGAUUCAAAAAUAUAUAUAAUAAUAAAAUAUUAUCUUAUCAAUUGAAAAUGUUUUUAAAUUAUAAUAGAGGUUGCUAUACAUCCUAAGUGCUUAUAAUGGCCAAUGGAAGUCACCUUGUAGGAUUUGUUUGCAAAUUCAGUUCUGAUUUUGUAUGUAUUUUCUUGUUAUAUUAGGCAACUAGGAGGAUUAUCUAAUUUGCUGCUUGAAAGUAAACUUGACAAAAUCAGGUAAGUGACCAAUAUCCCUUCGGUGUUUUCACAUCCUAAAAAAAUUAACCUCAAUGUGAAUUUGUACAUGAUAUAUGAUAUUUUGUCCUAUGAUUUAUUAAAAUUGGGUUGAGCAUGCAAAAUGUAUAUGUAUAUGUAUAUAAGUUUUAUGUAUUAGAUUUAGAAUGUGGCUUAUGCAAAACGUGAUUUCUUAUUUUGAAAUUUGUAUAUAACUUUGUAUAAUGUAUGCAUAUAUAUUUUCGUGAAUAUAAACAUAAAUAUUUAGUUUGAAACAAAUAUGCUUUUAAGGUGUAUGAGAUAUGCUUGAGAAAGUUGAUAUACUGUUUUAUAAAAUUUGAGUAAUCUAAAAAUAUAUGUUUUUGUUUUGUCUCCUAGUAUGGCUAUGCUCUAACCUUGCCAAUGGGGGUUAAAUGUUGACUAUGUCGACAUGUAUUCUGUUAUUAGAGAUUGAUCUCUCAAUCGUACCACCGAUUACAGAAUAGUGGCACUUAUGAUAUCUGUUCAGUGCAACCAAUAGUUACUUUUGAUAUAUUUCUGACCCGUGCCAUCGGGGUUAAUCAUGGAUUUAUUUUUUACCUAUACCACAGGGAUUAAGUGUGGUUGUAAUAUGUUACAGAAGACUAUUAAAAUUUAAAAUAUUUGUGAAAUAUGUUUGUUCUGUUAUCUGAAAGUAGAAAUUUUAAAGUAUUUGAUUUUAAAUAAGAUUACCUAAUAAUUUAUUUUGAUAUUUAUAUUAAUGACAUUUUGGUCUAAAUGUUUUAAGUAUGUUUAACCCGACUGAAGGGAUGUUAGUUACUUGCUGAGUAGUUGGACUCACUUCUUCCUUCAAAAUUUUUUUCAGGUUAUGAUUUGAUCAACUACGUAGAAAUUUUGAAGAGUGAUGUUUAAUCUAGCAGUAUUUAAAUUAUUUAGGAUUUAUUUAAAUAUUAUGAACAUUGAACUGUCUUAAUUAGUAUUCAGACUUCUAUCUUGACAUAAUAGCCUUAUGGUUUUGUAAACUUAAUUUUAAAUAUUGUCGAAUUAUGAUCUUUUGAAUUUUCUAUCGAUAGAUUUAGUUUUAUGAAUCACUAUAUUCUUCAAGUAUUUUAGUUUUUUUUAGAUAGUGUUAUAAGGUAUAUGUAUUAAAACCUUCCAUGUCUGUAAGAUUACAUCUUACAAGUAUAUGGCGUCUAUCGUGCCUCGAGUCAGAGGCAUGACAAUUAUUCAAAAUUUGAGUCUUGUAAAAUAAUUUUUUAUAUUUUAAAAUAUUUUUUCAUAACUUAUUUAGACAAAAACUUGUUAAAAAUUAUUACUCAUUUUUCAAUAACAUAUUCAACAACUAACAAUUUGACAAAUUUCUAUUCAUUGAUCAAAAUUAAGUAUAAAUAUUUACAAAUCACAUAAAAUUAAAUAAUCAAAUAAUAUAUUUACAAAAUAAAUAAAUAAAUUCAUAAUUUCAAUAUAUUGUUUAAUAAGCAAUACUAUUUUCUAUUAGAAAGAUUUUUUUUUGGUCCCAAAUUAUUAAAUUAAUUAAAAAAUAUUUACGCAUAAAAUAUUUAAAAACUUUAUUUAUGUUGAAAAUUAUUUACAAUUGAACAAAUAAAAUAUAGAUGAGUUGCUUUAAAAAAAUAAAAAAUGCAAACAAAGAUUAGGAAGAGAAGUUUGUUUGCAAGUCUUAAAAGUAAUAUUUGAAUUUUUGAAAAGGAAGAGUAUAGUUUAAGUUUUAAUUUUUUUAAUAAAAUUUUAAAUUAUAAUUUUUUUAAUUUUUUAGUAUAUAAAUUAUUUUUUUAAUAAAUUUACUUUUAUCAAAAAAAUUUUAUCUCACUUUUUAUUAAAUUAUAAAAAAAUUAUUGAAUUUUUUAUUGUUAUUAAUUAUGUAAAAUUCUAAAUAAAUAAUAUAUUUAAAAUAAAUUUUUAACAAUUGAAUGACAUCACGUGACACCACUUUAUAUAGGUGGGUCCGCCAGUGAUUGUCAGCUACAGCCCUCCCUGUUAAGGCUGAGGCUCUAGAUGCCUUUAUUCCCUAGCUUUUUUUUAGGUGUCUUUUGAAGCUUUGAUACCUUUACCCCAUUCAAAUAAGCACACUUAAGGAGAGAAUGAGAGCACAAAGGAAGUAUGCAUCUGAUUCAUACGCGGCGCUAAAGUUGAAGCAACUUUAUAUUGAAAUAAUCAUGCUACAAAAUUGGAUAAAUUUGCAGAUAAAUAACUAUUUAGGACCCCAACACUUUUUUAAGUCUAAUGUUGAAUGUAGAGCCAAUCCUCAUUUUGAUAUCACUUUUAACAUGGUGUCGGUUUCCUAUCAAUUUAUUAAUAGAAGUUGACAUUGGAAAUUGAUAUGUUGUUAGUUUCGUUGGCAGCUACCACCGGGUAAAAUUUGCACGUGUAAUUAUCUACGUAAUCAAGUUCUUUGUUGUUUUUUGUCUUUUUAAUUUUCUCAUUUUUAAAUGUAGUUUGACUAGAAUUAAUUAGAUUAGUAUAUCUAAUUAAUUCUAAUUAAAUAUAAUUAGAUUAGUAUAUCUUGAUUUAUAAAUCAAGAUAACAGCAAUCAAUAUCCAAGAAUUUUAAUUAAUUCUAAUUAACGAAUCUGCCAAGAAUUUUGCUUCCUCAAUAUCCAAGCCUAGACCCAUGGCUAAGCUCUAUAAAUCAAAGGCUGAAUUUUCUAAAAAAUUAAUGAUGAUUGUAACUCAGGGCCAGACUCAAUAUAUCAAGUGACACACAAUGCAUUCCUAGUACAAGUAAGGUUGGUAAUAACAGCAAUCUACCGAGCCAUUUGUAACACGUCGGAUGGUGUUCGACAAGCCAAGCAGGUUCUAGUGAGGUUUCAAAUGGAGCAGGCAAAUCAAUCAUGGAUCCAAAUAGGUUUCUUUUGUUUUAUAUUCAAAACACUGCAGCAUUUCUCAUCGUGCUUUUCCUUAUGAUUCUGUUUCUAAUAAAUGGUCUUUUCAGCGAAGUGGUUCUUUUUGUUGAAGUUAAUGCUUACAUAUAUCAAGUGGACAAAAUGACAAGUGACAAUCUACUUGGAUAUCAUGCAUGUUUGUAUGUGUUUUACUUAGUGUUGAAGACCACUAUGUGGAGUUAUGUAUGUCACUAUGAUAAUCAUGUUUUAUACUUGUUUCUUAUGUAUUAACAAAUGUUAUAUCUAUUGAUAAUAUGCGUUAAUGAAGUUGUGUAUAUAUAUAUUGAAUAUGAAUGAAAUUAUUGUGGCCUUUUCUCUUUGUUCAUCUUUGUUUAAGAGAUAUAAAAUAGAGGUUGUGUUAUAGCAGUCAUUUACUCUCUUUCUCUCAAAACACAACAUGGUAUCAACUCUCAAUUUGAGUUCUUAGGGGACCAAAACUCUAAAUAUCACCACAAAACCCUCCAAGCAACAACCCACCCUUAAAGCAUGGCAAAUACCAAUAUCUUCUCUCUUUAAACAUCACCAUUAAGGGAGUUUGAGGUCAUGAAGAUGAAGGAAAAUGAAACUUUGAAGUACUGCAAAGAUGAGGUAAUGCAAAUAACAAAUCGGGUGAGAUUGUUGGGUGAGAAUAAUCUACAAAAAAAUGUUGUGAAGAAGGUUUCAGAAAACGCCUUGAGUGCAAAAUUCAAAGGCAAAGUCAAGAGUAACCCAACACCAAGAAAGAAACCUAGUGAGUCAAAGGAGAAAGAAAAGAGAGGUCAUCAACAAAACAAGUCUCAGCUCAAGAAGAACAAGUUUCAAAUUUGUUUACACAAGCAAGGAACAAUAGCAUAGACUACUUUUGAAGUUGAGUAUAUCAUAGAUGUUAUAGCUGCAAACCAAGCUACAUGGAUGAGGAAAGUACUCCUCCAUUUUGGAAUGCCUCAAACAGAACCAACUGAGUUGUUUGUGGAUAAUAAAUUGACAAUUGUUACUGUCAAAAAUCCAGUCUUCUAUGGAAGAACAAAAACACAUCAGUGUCAAAUAUCAUCUAUUGAGUGAUGUUGAAAAAUGUGAUGAAGUGCUUAUUCAUCACUUCAGUUUUGAAGAAUAGUUCACUGACAUGUUGACCAAAUCACUGAGGUAGCCAAAGUUCAGCUAUUAUAGAGAUUAACUAAAGGUUCUCCAAGCAAUCAUUAAGGGAGAAUGUUGAAGUUAAUGCUUGCAUGUAUCAAGUGGACAAAAUGACAAGUGACAAUCGAUUUAGAUAUCAUGCAUGUUUAUAUAUGUUUUGCUUGGUGUUGAAAACCACUACGUGGAGCUAUGCAUGUCACUAUGAUAAUCAUGUUUUACACUUGUUUCUCAUGUAUUAAGAAGUGUUAUAUCUAUUGAUAAUAUGUGUUAAUGAAGCUGUGUAUAUAUAUAUUGACUAUGAAUGAAACUAGUGUGGUCUUCUCUCUUUGCUCAUCUUUGUUUAAGAGAUAUAAAAUCGAGAUUGUGUUAUAGGGGACAUUUACUCUCUUUCUCUCAAAACACAACAUAUCGUUGCUGCAAAGUUUACUUAUUUCAUUUGGCUUACUUUGGUGCUUGCUAUUGCAUCUGGGUGUUGGUUAUUUGGGGCUUAUCUAUAUUGGUUGAUGAAAAUAAGGAAGGUUAAUAGGAGUUCAGGAGAACUCAACGUCUUAGGGUUAUCUUGAAAGGGACGGAAACAUACACAUCCUUUAGCAUUGGCCUUUGCAUAGAUAGACGUUUUCAGCAUAAAAUGUUGAGAUGAAUUUGACAAUUAUGAUUGAAUUUUUUGUGGUUUAUUCAAGAAUGUUCAUCUUCAUAUCUCCUGCCAUUCAUGGCAUCCUUUUGCUAAUUAUUUCCGUUUUCAUCAAGAAAUAAAAACGUUAACUUCAAAUGCUUGUUCAUAAUUGGGUUCAUGUCUUGCUUAGGGCUUCUUUUUUUUCUGUUGAAUGGUCAGAUCUAAUCUAAAUCAACAAGUUCCAAAGGUUUUUUAAGAUAUUUUUUAAACACAAACACAGGAUCAUCGGUUAAUUGCAUAAGUUGACAUUAAAAACGCAUCACUUACCGCUAUAACCAUAUAAUUAUUUUAUAAUAACUUUAUAAUCAUGUAAAAUUUAUCAAAUAUUAAUAUAAAGUUUAUAUCUAAGGAAUAGAUUUUUACAUGAUUUUUCCUUAUAAUUAAAAUAUUUAAUAUUAUAAAAAAAUUCCCAUUAACGACCCACUAAGCCUAAAGCCUACUCAAAUGCAAAAACACAAGCACGUUUAUGAUAAAAAUUUACACUUUUCUACUUCUUCCUUUGUUCAAUUGAUCCCUUGAAGAUGAGAGACACUAAGAGGGAAGAAUGUAAGAAGAAAAAAAUUUAUCUUAAUCCUUAUCAAUUGAUUUUUCUACCAUACUUUUAUUGUUAAGUAAAUUUGGAUAAGUUGAGUUCCGAUGAUUGAAUGGGAUAUAGCCACAAGUGCUAUCCAGCUUUCAAUAGAUAUUUUGAAACCAGAAUAAAGUAGAGACAGCGAGAUCCUUUCAGCGAAGAGUACUUUGUCUCCACGACUACUUUUGUUAUGCCUUUUCUGUUUAGUCACCUUUCCUGAUUGACUUUAAUUGACCGACACAACAAUGUCCUGUGCACCCUCUCUUUACUCUUUUAAUCAAUUACCGUCAGUGGCCUUACGAUUGCCUGUCAAUUUAUCGUUAUCCUAAGCCCUCUCUUCUUACUAUGUUUACUGGAUGGAGGGGACCUGCUCAACUUUUUUUUUUGAUUAUGUGAAACCAAGCCGAAUGUCUUCAAUGCUUUCUUAGUUUUAUGUGCUUAAUAUCUUCUUCUAUUUUCAGCACGUCAUUGUAAUUUGGCUCCCCUGAUAUGGAUGAAAGUUUGAAGAGAGCUGCACAAGAAGGAAAUAUUGUUGAAUUAUAUGCAUCAAUCCAAAGAGAUGGAAAUAUUUUGAGGCACAUCGAUGAGAUUGAGUUCGUUGACACUCCAUUACACAUAGCUGCAGCUCAAGGGUGCAUUGAUUUUGCAAUGGAGAUAAUGAUCUUAAAGCCCUCAUUCGCUAGGAAGCUAAACCACGAAGGGUUUAGUCCCAUUCACCUUGCGGUGGAAAAGGGGCAUAAAGAACUGGCGCUACAUCUCAUGCAAAAUGACAAAAAUCUUGUUCGUGUCAAAGGGAAGCGGGGUGAGACUCCUUUGCACUAUGCAAUACCAAGAGAACAAAAUUUUGAUCUCUUGGCCAGAUUUCUUGAGGCUUGUCCUGAAUGCGUCCGGGAUAUGACAACCACAAACCAGACUGCUUUGCAUAUUGCAACGAGACACAAUAGAUUAGAGGCUCUUGAACUCCUAUGUCGGAUGCUUAGGAAGAGUGACUAUUGUGAGGAUGUGGUGAACCAGAAAGACAGGAAUGGCGACACUGCCUUGCACAUAGCUGCGCGCAAUAAUCAGUCCAAGGUCCGAUCUCUUCCCCUCUUAAUUAGUUUUACUUUUAUCAAAAAAGAAUGGAUUAAUUCUUUAAUUUGGGAUUGUAUUUCAUGGUCAAUUGAUUGUGGCUUUUGUUUGUGUCUCGAACUCUCUAUCAAACAGAUGCUCAAACUGCUAUUAAAAUGCAAGGCUGAUAAGCAUGCGAUCAAUCAAGCUGGUUCAACAGCAGUGGCUGUUGCAAACGAACUUAAUAACAUAGAGAGCAGCAAUAUUUUGCAUGGUUGGGGAAGUGCAAGAGUUUUGAACUUUAAAUAUAAAAUUCAGAAACAAAUUGUCAAGCAUGUGACAAAGGCAUCAGAAGUAAUUUUUCAAGGUAUGGACAGUGUCUCAAGUGAGGAUCGCAACGCCUUACUAGUAAUUUUAGGAUUGCUUCUAACAGCUACCUACCAAGCCAGUAUUAGCCCGCCUGGUAGUGUUUGGCAAGGUGAUGGCUCCUCAAACUCCAAUUCCACUGUAGGACAUCAUGAAAAAUUACCAGGCAAAUCGGUCAUGGAUCAAGUUGAUUUCCUUACUUUUUAUAUUCCAGCCUAUACUGUCUUCAUAGUAGCGUUUUUCCUAACAUUGGGCCUCCUUAAACCUUUCCCCCAUGGUUUCAGGACUUCUCUUCAAGUACUGCUCGCAUUUCUUGCUAUAUCUUUUGACGAAUCAAUAAAUUUCAUAGCGCCAACUAAUUUAGCAUAUCGAGUUAUGUGUUUGUUUUCAACGUUGGUUUUUGUUUUAAUGAUGGUCAUGUGUGUUGCUUACCGGGUAUCAAAAAUUAGCGUUUUCUUUCUAGGGUGUUGGUUAGUGCCUGGUCUGUAUGGUCCAUUUCAGAUAGGAUCCUAUUUAAUUAUAGGGUGCUGGUUAUUCCUUAGUCUAUAUGAUCUAUUCUGGUUAGGAUCCACUUUAAUUGUAGGAUGCGGUUUAAUACUACAACGGUUUCAUUACAUCUGGAUGGUUGUUGCUAUAGUUCCAGUACCCAUGGUAUUACUUGCUUUGUUUCUAUUGUGGAUUGAAGUAGUGCGAUGAGAACGUGGGUUGACAUGCUACCCCUCACAAUAUAUGAACGUUAAAGCUGAAUGAAGCUUUAAAGAUGGCCGCCACUGCAUCUACUACAUAUUUUUUAUUUCCAGUCUUAUAUAUCUAUUUGUUGUAUCAUCAAUAAAUUCAGUUCCUCUUACAUAAACUCUUCUCCACAUUUUGCUUUAUCAUUUCAUCUACUUUCUUUUGCUCAUAAUUUUUGCUGAUGUAUUAUUAUGAAAUUAAUACUCCUCCUAUCUCAAAUUGAAAAUUCACAUUUGACUGGCACAAAAAUAUUGACCAUAAAUUAUUUUAUGUAUAUUAUUGAUAAACUAUAUAAUUUUUAAUUUCAAAAAAUAAACAUAAAUAUAUAUAAUAAAAAAUAAUAUGAAACAAAAAAAAGAGCUAUAACUUAUAGAUGCUCAAGAUUCAAUUUCUUUCACAAAAUCACACUAUUGCUUAAUUACGGAAAAAAAAAAGAUAAAAUAUCCAGACAUUUUUAAGUUUUAAUCAAAAUUACUUUUCAAAAAAAAAUUUUAAUCAAAAUUUAAUGAAAGUUUAUUAAUUUGAGAAAUUGAUAUUCCGUCUCAAAAAAAUAUUUAUUAUUGAACAUAUAAGUCCAAUCAUUAGGCCUUACCACCCAUGUCAAGCCUAUUCUGUUUUUUUUUUACUCUUUCCCUGUUGUAUAUAAUUGAGUGAUUAAACAAGUUUUCAAUAGGUUAAGGUCCAUCCAUUAAAAAAGUUGAGGUCCAUGACAUCCAAAUGAAAAUUUAAAACUAUUGCAUCUAGAACAGGAUUAAAUUAAAUAUUAAGUAUUUGAAAAAUUCGGAGAAAGAUUAUUCACAUUUUGUUAUCUUAUUGGUUCAAAAUAGUUGGAUGAGAGAAGAUUUUAUAAUAAUUCUCCCUAAAUAGAAAAUCACAAAAAUGAAAUCAAAAUCAUGAAAAAUUAUUAGAUAAAUCAUUCUUUAUCACUGUUAGUUAUAAAUUGGACAAAUUAAAAUAUAACACUUAAAAGUGAUCCCUUGAAGAUGAGAGACGCUAGGAGGGAAGAAUGUAAGAAGAAGAAUGUUAGAAACCUAAUGGGUCAAACACAUUAAGUGACAUGAUUGAAAUUAAAUAAGGAUAAUUAAUUAAGUUGGACUUAUUAAAAAAAAUCAAAAUAAAGUGAAAAAUUAAUUAAAUUCACAGAGAUUUAAUUAAAUUAAAAUACAUAUGCUAUAUAUAAAGUUAUAACUUAGUCUGGCUAUAUAAAUAUGUUAUGUUAGUAAAUUAAAACUCAAAACCUCCAAUCACUUAUCAAUCGUUUCAUAAAAUAAGAAAAGAAAAAUAGUUUUCCUUAUUUGACAAAAAAAUGAUUCGGUAAGUAUUUUGGUCUUUUUGUUUUAGAAACAAAAUUUGCUAGUACAAGUAAAAAAUUCUACUUUUGAGAAGGUCUUAUUUGGUCAUUGUAUGGAUUACUGUUAGAGGCCAAACACUUGAGUGACUGAAGUUUUGACAAAUCCUAAAGGUAAAGAAGAAAAGAUUUUGAUUUAAUUAGGCUCUUGAUUACAAUAUUUAGAGUAAGAUAUAUAAUUCUUACUUAUGAAUAUUCAUAAUUAAAUUAAAAAUUACAUUAAAAACACAAAUAUUGAUCUUAUAGGAUUUGAUCGUUUCUCUGAUUAAAUGCUAAUUUAUUAUUCCGUUGCAUUAUAUUUUUAAUUUCUUGAUUAUUUUCAUAUUUGAGCAUGAGAUCGAAUCUUAGUACUAAUAUCAUUUCUUAUUUUCAGCACGUCAUUGUAAUUUGGCUCUCUUGAUAUGGAUGAAAGUUUGAAGAGAGCUGCACAAGAAGGAAAUACUGUUGAAUUAUAUGCAUCAAUCCAAAGAGAUGGAAAUGUUAUGAGACACAUCGAUCAGAUGGAGUUCGUUGACACUCCAUUACAAAUAGCUGCAGCUCAAGGGUGCAUUGAUUUUGCAAUGGAGACAAUGAUCUUAAAGCCGUCAUUCGCUAGGAAGCUAAACCAGGAAGGCUUUAGUCCCAUUCACCUUGCAGUGGAAAAUGGGCAUAAAGAGCUGGCGCUACAUCUCAUGCAAAAUGACAAAAAUCUUGUUCGUCUCAAAGGGAAGCGGGGUGAGACUGUAAUGGACUGACUAAACAAGUUUUCAAUAAGUUAAGGUCCAUCCAUCAAAAAAAUUAAAAAAGUUGAGGUCCAGGACAUCCAAAUGAAAAUUUCAUAUUAUUACAUCUAGCACCGAAUUAAAUUAAAUAUGAAGUUUUUGAAAGAUUUGGUGAUAGAUUAUUCACACUUUGUUAUCUUAUUGGUUCGAAAUAAUUGGAUGAGAGAAAAUUUUAUAAUAAUUCUCCCUAAAUAGAAAAUCCCAAUAAAUGAAAUCAGAAUCAUGAAAAAUUAUUAGAUAAAUCAUUCUUUAUCACUGUUAGUUAUAAAUUGGACAAAUUAAAAUGUAACACAUAAAAGUGAUCCAUUGAAGAAGAAGAAAAUUUAUCCUAAUCCUAAUCAGUUGAUUUUUGUACCAUACUUUUAUUGUUAACAAUUACAUAUUACAAUAGUAUUAAGUAAUUUUUAACAAGUUGAGGUCCAGGGCAUUCAACGGGACGCGUUGAAUAUUAUAUAGCCCCAAGUGCUAUCCAGCAUUCCUCCAUAUUUUCCCUCAUUCAUACCGGCAGCUCCUGUUGUUUUUGUUUUUACGAGCUCUCUCUGCAACCAGGAAAUGGUUGGCUGUUCUGGUUGUCUUCAAGUUUCAGCUUCUGGUUUGGCUGUUUUGCUGUGACUAUCUUCUUAUCGGAUGUUACUUAUGUUUUCUCAAUUUAUAGCUCCGCCAUUGUAUGUGGAUAUUAUUGUCAGCAUCUUGGUGAUUGUUAGUGUUUAUCCAGCAUCUGUGAUUGUUGUUCUCUAAGUUGUUCUACUAGCUUGUUGUCAUGUUGAUUUUUGCUGGUACUAUUAUCUUGUGCAUGCUUCUGUCAUUUGAGUAUCUGUACUGUUUUUUGGAUCAGGCUAUUGCUGAUUCCUCACCGCUUCAUUCAGCUUGUUAAUAAAAUCCGCAUCAUUUUUGGCUGAGAAAAAAAGAAAAAAUUAGAGACAGCCAGAGUUGUGAUCUUAGUGUAUAGUAUUUUGUUUCCACCAAAACUAAUUUCGUUGCUGCCUCUUCUGGUUUUUCAACUUUCCUGAUUGACGGUAAUUGACUGACUCAAUAGCAUCGAGCUUUUACCUGUAAGAACGUUGAGGUUCUCUUUACUCUUUUAAUCAAUUACCUAUAAAUUUGUCAUUAUUCUAAGCCUUCUCAUCUCACUAUGUUAACUGGAUGGAGGGGAGCUCCUCAACUAUUUCUUUUUCAAGUGAAACCAUUCAGGAUUUCCUCCAUGCUCUCUUAAUUACUCUUUUAAUUGCUAUAUAACGUAGCCUAAUCCUUUUUCUAUUUUCUGCAUGUCAUUGUCAGUUGGCUCCCCUGAUAUGGAUGAAAGCUUGAGGAGGGCUGCUCAAGAAGGAGAUAUUGUUGAAAUAUAUGCAUCCAUCCAAAGAGAUGGAGAUGUUUUGAGGCACAUUGAUGAGAUGGAGUUCGUUGACACUCCAUUACAGAUAGCCGCAGCUCAAGGGUGGAUUGAUUUUGCAAUGGAGAUUCGCUAGGAAGCUAAACCCAGAAGAUUUUACACCCAUUCACCUUGCAGAGGAAAAUGGGCAUGAAGAGCUGGCGCUACAUCUCAUGGAAAAUGGCGCUACAUCCAAUUCACCUUUGCACUAUGCAAUAACUAGAGAACAAAAUCUUGGUCUCUUGGCUAGAUUUUUAGAAGCUUGUCCUGAAUGUUUCCGAGAUAUGACAACCACAAAGCAGACUGCUUUGCACAUUGCAACGAGAAACAAUAGAUUAGAAGCUCUUCAACUUCUACGUCGGAUCCUUAGGAAAAGUGACUACUGUCAAGAUGUGAUGAACCAAAAAGACAGGAAUAGUGACACGGCCUUACACAUAGCUGCGCACAAUAAUCAACCCCAGGUCCGAUCUCAUCCCUCAAACUAAUUUUACUUUUAGUAAAAAGGGAAUGGAUUCUUUAUUUUGGAAUUGUAUUGAUGGUCAAUGGAUUAUGGCAUUUAUUUAUGUCUCGAUAAAACAGACGCUCAAACUACUACUAAAAUGCUAGGCUGAUAAGUUUGCGACCAAUCAGGCUGGUUCAACGGCAUUGACUGUUGCACACGAACGUAAUAAAACAGAGAUUGCGGUUGAUCGAUUGUCAUCUCCCUUCCGAGUCUGUUUGUGCGCAACUCUUCAAAAGGGAAUGCUUGCUUGAUGCCGUUGGCUGCUCACAUUGUUGGAGUGGGGCCGCUGCUUUCGUGUUCAAGAAGGUGUGCACGUCUGGCCUGAAACAAUUCAGGAUGUCUAGGGUCCUUUUGCUGUCUCUCUUUCCUUCGGUUGUUUCUACGCUGGCUGCCAUGGUCUUGCUGUCUUAAACGUCCGAAUGCUUUACUCUUUUGGGUGAUCUUGUCCCUUAGGUCCUUACUUCUUUGCUACCAGUUUCGGCUUACGGUUGGCUUGAGUUCUUGUACAAGCUGUUGUUCUUGUUUUGAUGCUGCCAUUCUUCUUGUGCAGUUGAACUAUGUAUUUUCUUGUUUUCCCUUUGCCAAGCCGAUUUUCAUGCCAAGGGAGUCUCAGGCAAUCGCAGCUCGAGACUUUCUUUGACACAUCGAUAGUAUGACAAAAACGUUGAAUGAAGCUCUAAGAAUGGCUGCCACUGCGUCUAGAUAUUUCCUAUUUCCGAUUUUGUAUCUUUAUUUGCUGUACGGCAAUGUACCACCCAAAAUUUCAAUUUCUCCCAAUGCAAAAUCAUCACUACUUUUCCCUUUAUCUUUUAUUCUACGACUUUAUUUCACUUAUAAUUUGUGUUGUAAUAUUCCUUUGUUUCAAAAUGAAACUUUACCUUUGACUUAUCACAGAAAUUAAAAACUAAUUAUUAUAAUUUUAUCAUUUACUGUAAAUUAUUUUAUAAAUAGUUAUUUUCUGUGUUCUGAACUUAUAACACAUUAACCCUAUUGACAACCAUUGGGCUAACAGCAUUUCACCUCCCAGGUGGUUCUAUUGCUCGUGCCACUUUCACUUUUGUGUUCGAGCUACAUGCUCUUCAUAAGCAUCUUAUCCCCGACUCCUCUUUGGUCCAAAUGGAAUACAUUUCAAUCAAUAGUCUUUAUCAUGUUGCUGGUAUUGCAGUUUCCUUUGUGGGGCUUAAGUCGAAGAAAUUGAUGUGUUGUUAGUGUCAGUGGCAGCUACCACGCGGUAAAAAUUGUACAUGUGUAAUUGUUCAUGUAACCAAAUUAUGGUUACUGAUCCCUUGUCUUUUUCCUUUUUCCUCCUUCUUCUCCCCUCUUUCAUGGCUAGUUAGCUAUGUAGCGCCGCUCCAGCACUCGAGGGCGGCCGGUCGAGUUCGUCCAGGCUCUAAACUAGCCUCUCCUUGCCCCCAGUCCUGGAUUGGCAGUGACGGUGGCUCUCCAUAAAUCUAUCAAUAAAUAAUAAUAUCCAAGUACUAUAAAACAGACACACUACUGUCUGAUAGGAGCUGACAAGUUUAAUAUAUAUGCCUCACCAUGUGGAAUAUCUAAAUAUAAUUUUUCCUCUUGCUUUUUUGUUUUCUCUUUUCUGUGUGUUUUGUCUUUAGCUGUAUGGAUAAAACCAAAAUCAAUGCUCAAGCAUUGGAAUUAAAUUAAAUGAAUCCGACGAAUUUUUUCUAUCAUAGUUUUAUUGUUAGCUUACAGUUUUUCUUUUCUCAGCCAUCAUUUUAUUGAUGUGUUCAACGGUGAACAUCUGAGAUACGAAGACAGAGCAAUAAUAAUACAAACAGUAAGCCCUAGCACCCCACGUCACGCCUAAAUUUAUGUUUAUUCCAAUCACCUUUACGCAACAGGCAACACAAGACUUCCUAUCACCAAACCAAAUUAUAGUAGGAAAAUCAGUCACAUAAAACAAUCCCUUAGCCUCAUCAAAGCAGAAAGACAAUAUGACUACAUCCAGUAUAGAAUUGCUUCUGUAAUUUGUGUCAAACACUCGUCCGCCUAUCAGAAUACUCCCUUCCUAAACAGCAAGCACUGGUAUUCGUAAGAUAGUUCGUUCAGUGUUAACUUCUUAAAAGAUAUUAAAUAGAAAAAAUACAACGAAAUAGAAUUUUCACUUAAAUCUAUUUGUUGGAAUGACUUCUAAUGUUUCUGUGAUAUUUAAGAAUCCAAUGAAUCGCAAUCAUUGAAUCCAAUUCAACAAUUAAUUAACGACCUCUUUCCCAACACCAUGAUGAGCGAUGAAAAAUUUUAAGAGCCAUCUCUCCCUUUCUUGACUUCACAUUGAUGUUUUGUUCUUAUGAGCCAAUCAUAAGUUUUGAAUAUUACAUAGCCACAAGUGCCAUCCGCCCUUAAAUAUAUUUUAAACCGGAUUAAGUAGAGAGAGAGAGAGAGAGUUGUCAUCAUAGUGGUCCAAAGAAGUCUGUUUUCUUUAUAUAAAAAAAAUCUAUCCCGGAUUUUACCCUUUUUUACUAUAAUUGACUGACUAAAGAUGAUUUUAAUAACUUGACGUCCAUUCUUUAGGAAAAAAAAUAAGAUGCGGAUGGUUGCAGCCCUUAAACUUUUAAAAUAUUUUUUAUAUUAUAUAUUUAAAAAAUUAAUAAUAAAACAAACAUUAAGCCCUAGCACCCCACGUCAAGCCUAAAUUUAUGUUCAUUCCAAUUACCUUUACGCAACAGGCAACACAAGGCUUCCAAUCACCAAACCAAAUUAUAAUAGGAAAAUCAAUCAUAGCACAAAAUAGCCCUUUUGCCUCAUCAAACCAGAAAGACAAUAUGACUACAUCCAGUAUAGAAUUCUUCUCUAGUUCAUGUCGAGCACUCUUCUGUCUAUCAGAAUACUCAAUAAACACUCAUUUUUGUAAGAGAAUUUUCGUUUAAUAUUAAUUUUUCAAAAGAUAUUAAAUAAGAAAAACAUAACGAAUAAAAUCUUAAAAUAAAUCAAUUUAUUGGAACGACUUCUAAUAUUUCCGUGAUGUUUAAAGAUCCAAUGAAUCGCAUUCAAUAAUUAAUUAACGACUUCUUUCCCAAUCAUGAUGAGUGACGACAAAUUUUAAGAGGAAUCUCUCCCUUUCUUGACUGGACAUUGAUUUUUUGUUCUGAUGACCCAUCCAUAAGUUUUGAAAAUUAGUCACAUAGCCACAAGUGCUAUCCUCCCUUUAAUAUAUUUUAAACCAAAUUCAAGUAGUGAGAGAGAGAGUUGUCAUCAUAGUGGUCCAAAGAAGUCUGUUUUUUUAUAAAAAAAAAUCUAUCCCGGAUUUUGCCUUUUAUUACUACAAUUGACUGACUAAACAUGAUUUUAAUAAGUUGACGUCCAUUCAUUAGAAAAAAAAAAAAAAUAGGGGCGGAUGGUUGCAGCCCCAAAAGUUUUAAAAUAUUUUAUAUAUUACAUAUUUAAAACAUUAAUUCAUAUCAUUAUUAUGAGAACAUGAUAAGAAAAAUAUUAGGACACUUUUUGAAUUGUGCUAAAGAUUAGUAAAAAUAAAAAAAGUCAAUAAAUUACCACUUAAUUAAUAGAUUAAUUUAUCUUGUUUUUAUUCGUCCGGUUUCUACAAUGAGUAUAGAGAAAGUCUUUUUAGUAAUGAAAAUUGUGAAAUUAAGACUUUGAAAUAAAAUAAAUGAUGAGUUUCUUUUAGAUAAUUUAUUUAUUUUAUUGAAAAAGACAUUGUUAACCUUUUUAAUAUAGAAACAAUAAUUGAUAAAUUUAAAUCUAAAAAACAUCAUUGGGUACAACUGUUUUAAAAGACUAUUAUAAGUCUUUCUUUAUUAUUCCUUUUUAUUUACAUGCUACAUAAAAUUAUUAGAUAUUAUGAAUCUUUUGAUUGUUAGUUAAAUUUAACAUAUUAAUUUUAAAAAAUUUUAAUCUUUGUUUCUCUUUGUUUCAAUCCCUCAAUAAAAGUUAACUAUCUCCGCCCUUGGCAGCAUCCAAAUAAAAAUUUUAAUAUUAUUAUAGGUUCAAGGAUGCCUAGUUGUACAUAAUUUUAAAACUCCAUUAAAUUAAACAUAAGUCAUUGAAAGAUUCAAAAAAGAGAGAUUAUUUGCAUUUUAUUAUACUAUUGGUUCCAAGUAGUUGGAUAUAACAAUUGUCAUGCAUAUUUAUGAAAAGUAUAAACUUAUGUAAAAGUUGACACAGCAACUUAUAAGUACAUGUUAUAUUAUGAUAUAUAAGAUUAUGAUCGACAUGGUAAGAAACCUGUAUCUAAUAAAUUGAGGUCAAGUGCUAAAGUAUUUUAGCCAAUUUUUGACCCUCAAACAUCCUCUUAACAACACUAUCUAGUUAAAAUUUGACUUUCAUGACAAACAUCGUCGUGUUAUAGUAACAAGUCAUGAUGUGCUAAUCUUCAGUACUAAUUCUGCAUUGAUAUGAGGUCAUUAAAGACAGACGUUCCAUUAACAAUGAAGAGGAACAACCGAAGAGAAAAUCUUCGUAGCAAAUCUUCCAAGAAAGAUACGAAAGUAGAGACCCAAAAGUAGGACUUCUUGGUGACCUUCAGGAAAGUUUGAGGCUUUUGAAUAUUAUAUGGCCGCAAGUGCUAACCGGCCUUCAAUAUAUAUAUAUAUAUUUAAACAUGUUUAUCCCCUUGAAUAUAUAUUUUCAAUAGUUUAAAAUAUAUAACAAGACACAUUUAUUCGCUUGAACUCCGAACAUGUUUCAUGUUAGUUUCCUCCAAAUUUCCUCUCAGUUUGACGAAAACAGUAAUUCAUUUUAUUCAAUUUCUAUGUCGGCCGUAAUAUUGAAUUUUUUCUUUUUCUUUUUUAAAAAGAAUUUCUUUUUCGUGGACAUUGAUUGCCAGGUCCUGUUGAUCUUCGGUUAAAGAAAGGUUUUUUUAUUUGAUUUUGGUUCUUGAUUUGGAUUCUCCAUUGUAUGUUUUUUUUUGUUUGUGGCUUUUUUUUUGUGAAAUAGUAGUUUUUGACUAAAGAUAGUCAAGUCUUUAGAAAAAUAGUAGGGAGCUUUUUUUUUUUUUUUCUUGUUCCAUUAGCUCAAGUCGAAGAUGUCACUAGAAAUUUGUGAAGCAGAUGUCACUAGAAAUUUUUAACAAAUAACUAAAGACUUUGGAUAACAUAGUGGCUUAGUGCUAAUAAAAUCAACUUUCAAAAGAAAAAAAAACAAGAAAAAGAGCUUUUGCUUUUGCAUUAGUUAAAAAGCACUUUCCCGAUAUUUCUUAAAAGAGUUAUCAACAAUUGACUCAAUAUUAAAUAUAUGUAUUUAUAUUUAAAAAGUUGAGUUAGAAUUCACAAUUUUUUAAAUUAAAUAAAGAUUAUUUGAUAAAAGAAAUGCAAAAUAAAUUUUUUAUGACGUGAUAACGCUAAUCUCAAUUUUUUUUGUGUUAUGUUAACGCCUAAAUAUAUUUUAAUAAAUAAUUAUCAUGAAAAGUUGAGGAUAUUUUAAAGAAAGAACUGUAUCUUUGCUUACUCAAAUAAUGUUUUACAUUAUGCUUACUCGUUAUUUGACUCUAACAACAACUAGACUCAAUUAAAAUCACUUCUUACUAUAUCUUUUCUCAUUUUAGAGUUAUGUCUUUCAAUUUUUUUAUAUCUAAUUAGAAGCUUCCUCUAAUCAUUUAAUUUAUCAACGUAUGGAGGAAGAAAAGUGUUUUGGAUUUGUUGAAGAGAGAGUUGUCAUGUUUAGUGGUCUAAAUUAUUGAAGAUUUUAUAAUAAAUAGAACUGUUUUUUCCACAAAAACUCCUUUAUUCUGCCUUUUCUGCUUUUUAAUCUUUCCUGGUUCAUUAAAAUUAAUAUACUAAAUAGCACCGAGGCUUUUCCUUGUAAGUUCGUCAAGGUACUCCUGUGCAGGGCACCCUCUCUUUACUCGUUCAAUUAAUUGCUGCGAGUGGCCUUAAGUACUAGAUAUUUUCUCUGUUUUAACUACACUCUAAUUAGCCUAAGCCCUUACAAUUACCUAUCAUUUAAUUCCGGAUUUGUAGCCUAAUCCUUUUUCUGUUUUCUGCUUGUCAUUGUAUUUUCGCCCUCUUGAUAUGGAUGAAACUUUGAGGAGGGCUGCUCAAGAAGGAGAUAUUGUUGAAUUAUAUGCAUCCAUCCAAAGAGAUGGAGAUGUUUUGAGGCACAUUGAUGAGAUGCAGUUCGUUGACACUCCAUUACACAUAGCUGCAGCUCAAGGGAGCAUUGAUUUUGCAAUGGAGAUAAUGAUGUUAAUGCCAUCAUUCGCUAGGAAGCUGAACCAAGAAGGCUUUAGUCCCAUUCACCUUGCGGUGGAAAAGGGGCACAAAGAGCUGGCCCUACGUCUCAUACAAAAUGAUAAAAAUCUUGUCCGUGUAAAAGGGAGAAAGGGUGAGACUCCUUUACACUAUGUAAUAACUACAGAACAAAACCUUGACCUCUUGGACGGAUUUCUGGAGGCUUGUCCUGAAUGCAUCCGAGAUAUGACAACCGCAAACCAGACUGCUUUGCACAUUGCAACGGAAAACAAUAGAUUGGGAGCUCUUCACCUCCUAUGUCGGAUGCUUAGGAAGAGUGACGAUUUUCAGGAUGUGGUGAACCUGAGAGACAGGAAUGGCGACACUGCCUUGCACAUAGCUGCACGCAAAAAUCAACUCCAGGUUCAACCUCAUCCCUCUAACUAAUUUUACUUUUAGUGAAAGAGGAAUGGAUUCUUUAUUUUGGGAUUGUAUUUGAUGGUCAAUUAAUUGUAAUUUUAAUUUAUGUCUCAAUCAAACAGAUUCUCAAAUUGCUAUUAAAAUGCAAGGCUGAUAAGUUUGCGACAAAUCAAGUUGGUUUGACGGCACUGGCUGUUGCAGACGAACUUGAUAACAAAGAGAGCAAAAGUAUUCUUCGUGGUUGGCUAGGUGCAAGAGCUUCAACCUGUCAAUAUGUAAUUCGAAAACAAAUGGUCAAGCAUGUGACAAAGGCAUCAAAAGUAAUUUUUCAAGGUAUGGGCAGUAUAUCCAGCGAGGACCGCAACACCUUACUAGUAAUUUUAGGAAUGCUUCUAACAGCUACCUUCCAAGCCAGUAUUAACCCGCCUCGCAGUGUUUUGCAAGAUGAUGGCUCCUCAAACUCCAAGUCCAAUGUAAAUGAAGGACAUGGCAGAUUGGUCAUGGAAGAAGUUAAAUUUCUUAUUUUCUAUGUUCCAGCCUAUACUAUCUUCAUAGUAUCGUUUUUCCUAACGUUGGGCCUCCUUAAACCUUUUCCCCGUGGUUUCAAGACUGCGCUUCAAGUACUACUUGCAUUUCUUGCUGAAUCCUUCGACCAAUCAAUAUCUUUCAUAGCGCCAACUGAUUUAACAUAUAAAGUUAUCAGAAUAUUUUCAGUGUUGGAUUUUAUUUCAAUGAUGUUCAUGUGUAUUGCUUACCGAGUAUCAAGAAUUAGUGUUUUAAUUCUAGGAUGCUGGUUAUUCCCUGGUGUUACUCCAUUGCAAAUAGGAGCCUUCCCAAUUUUAGGGUGCUGGUUAUUCCUCGGUCUAUACGAUCCAUUCUGGAUAGGAUCCAUUUUUAUUUUAGGAUGCAUUUCAGUAUUGUAUGAGUUUUAUUACGCAUAGAUUGUACUUGUUAUAGUUCGAACAUUCUUGUUAUCAGUUGGUAUGCUUCUAUUCUGUUUUGAGCAGUACUGUAUUUUUUAAUCAAAAUAGAGGUGGCAAUUGGGUAAUAAGGUCAGGUCAAUUCCGGUCGAAGAAAAUUUUGUUCAUUUUGGUUUUGGUCAUUGCAAAUCAAAUCAGGUAAUUAGGAUUUGACACUCGAAUUAUUAGAUUUGGAUUAUAUGUGUUCGGGUUAUUUUUAAUUUAAGUGUUGACUUUUUAAGUCAAAUGAAAUUGGAUUUAGAUGAAUUGUUUUCAAUUUAAGUGUUGGCCUUUUAAGUCACAUGGAUUUAGAUUUAAACGAAUUGUUUGAAUUAGAAUAAUUUCGAGUCGGUUAUUCGGGUUGUUUGGGUUCAAGUAGUUUUGAGUUCAGAUCAAUUUAAAUUCAAAUUGUUUUGAAUUCAAGUCCUUUUCAACUUUGGAUCAUGCAAGUUCAGAUUGUUCAUUUUUUUUUUUGGUUAAAAUCAAUUUUAUGGAGUUUGGGUUUGAGUUCAAGAUUAGCUAUGCCAAUUUUAGUCCAAAUUGUUUGUAGUGCAAGGAAAUAUAUAUUUUUUUUGGCAAAUUUCAGGAAAGAAAUUUGAAAUAAAUACAUUGUCUCCUCUUAAGUUUGAUGAAAAUGGUGCAUUAAAUGUAAAAACAUAUUCUAAAGUAAUAUUUUGAUCUAUCUUAUUUUUUUAAUAAAGUCAGUUUUAUUGACCUCUUCAACCAGCAUGCCAUUGUAAGUCUCUAACCAAAGCGGAGAAGACUUGCUAUGGCAUAAAUUUUUCAUGGUUAAUUUGGGCAAAAUAUAACCUGCGUAGUUACAAAAUGAUAUACCACUUAAAAAACAAUAUCGGCGUGUACCCACAGAUUUAUCAAAACCGCUAUCAUAAUCAAAGCUCAACUAAAUCCAAGUACCUAACAUUUGCAUUUAAUCUCUUCAAGAUUAAAUUUACAAGGGUUCUGAUACCCCAAGGAAUAGUUUAGUAAGAACAAUUUAUUUUUUCCUUAAAAAAAAUUGAAGUAGAAGAAGAAAAAGUUUGGCAACAACGGCUUCCUGCCUCUUACCAACCUUGUUGCUGUCGUGAUUUGGGACCAAGAAGUCUUGUUGCUAGUUGUUGUAUAUAUAGGAACAAGCCAUUACCAUUUAAUCACAAAUACUUUCAAAUCACAAAAAAAAAAUGUGAUUCAACUGCCAUUUAAUCAAUUUUAAUUUGGUGGAUACCUACUUCUUUCUCAACCACAGAAAAUAUGUACUACUACAAGUACAUAAUCAAAGCCGAUUUAUCACUCAAAAUGAUAUACCACUCAAAAAACAAUAUCGGCGUGUACCCACAGAUUUAUCAAAACCGCUAUCAUAAUCAAAGCUCAACUAAAUCCAAGUACCUGACAUUUGCAUUUAAUAUAUAAAAAAUUUUAAAAAUUUUGGGGGAUCCGCUCAACUUUAUAACAUGAACACAGUCCUCACUCAAAAGCUUGCAGCUGGAAUGCAGUUUAGGACAGGUAACCAUAAAUUUUGGGCAGGAUAACGUAUUUCCAAAUGCAUAACCAUACCCUUUUUGUCUCCAUAGUUGACUGACUUCCCAAGAUAGCUGUGGCUUUCUCUACAGAAAAUGUUGUUUUCGCAUAAAGACAUGAGCUUCAACUUCAAAUUAAGGUCGAAAAAACCUCUCAUAUGCAGAUAGAGAAAGCACAAUCUAAGAGUCAUUAUUUUCAUGUAACAUAUCUUAUAUAUCAUAAUUUAUGUAGUAACUGACAGCUCAACCAAACGUAAAUAGGAACAUGGAAAAAGUAGCUUGACGGGUGCAUGUAGGGAUAUAUACACGAAUCACUUCGAUCAGUGUGGACCCAAGGUUGAGGGAGGCAGCUCGAACCUGAAACACAUGUUAAUUUCGAAAGAUUAAAAAUUUUAAUAACUUUGCUAUAAAUAAAUAUUAAAAGUUUGGAUAUUGACCUGAUCUUACAAAGAAAUUAAAAUCAUAAUUUUCAAAAAAAAGAAUAAACAACAUUUAAUCACCAAAAUUAUAUUAAAAUAUUAACUAACAUUAUAUUAUCAUUUUUUCAAUUGAGAAAAUGAGGGAUUUAAUUUGAAUUUAACUGUUUUAAUAAGGGAUACAUACACCUUUCAUUAAAUGCUUGGAUGUUAUAUCAAUUUUUGAAUAUAAUAAUUUUUUUUUGGAUUUAAUAUAAAAUAUGCUAUAAAUCAAAGAUGUUUUAAAAUUUUCUUGAAAACUAAAUAAAAAUAAAGAAAAUGAGAUGAAAAGAGUAUUAGUUUAAUUGGAUUAAACCUAUGCAAUUAGAAAUAAUCAUGAAAAUCAUGUGUUCUCUAUUACACAACAUAUGUACUUUAUUUGAAAUCCAAAUCCUCCCUUUUAAGUAUUUAACUUUCCAAAUGUAAACUUAAAGAACAUAGUUAGAAAUUUGGCAAGCAAAAUAAAUAUAUUUUCUAAUUUAUUAAAUGAAAACAUAAUUAUACUACUAUAUAUAAGCAAAAUAACAUAAGCUUAAAAACUUAUCCAUGAUGUCAUGUCCCUCAUCAUCAUCGAUGUUCAUUCUCUUGUUUCAUUAACUCCAUUGAAUCUGCCAACGGUACCUAAGUUGGCAAAUGUGACAUUUUCUUUAUCCAGAUUUUCACUCGCGUCUUUUCUUCCAUUCUAUCAACGUCUUUGUUAAUGUUAUUAAUUUCAUGGUAAUGAUUCUCUCUUUUACUAAUGUUAAAUGAAGCGGACUUAUGUAUCAGUCAUAAUUUAAUUAUAUUUUUAAGUAAAUUAAUCACAAAUAAUUUCAAAUCACAAAAAAAAUGUGAUUCAACUGCCAUUUGAUUAAUUUUAAUUUGGUGGAUACCUACUUCUUUCUCAGCCACAGAAAAUAUGUACUACUACAAGUAGACUAAACCCUUCCAAUUGUUUUCCUGUAAUUAUUAUUAAAUCUUAUCGAUGGAUGAAAGGUUAAGAAGUGCAGUACAAUCAGAAAAUAUAGAUGCCUUGUAUGCAUUAAUCGAAGAUGACGUGGAUGUUCUACGACGCAUCGAUGAGAUGGAGUUUGUUGAUACUCCACUGCACAUAGCUGCAAGCCUGCAACUGCAGGGCACACUGAUUUUGCAAUGAAGAUGAAUAACUCCUUAAACAUUCGCUUAGCAAAAAAAAAAACUCCUUAAACAUUCAUCGACAGUUUGACCAAUAUUAUGUAUAAGCAACAAAAUAAAUAAAUUCCUUUUUACCGUCAAGUAUUGUUGAUAUAUUUUUAAAAUAAAAGAUUGUGUUUUCAUACGAAGAGUUAGUUUAACUUAAAAAUUAUGUUAUAUAGUAUGAUUAUUAGAUUAUAAAUGUAUUUUUUUUUAUGAAUAAUUAUAUCUAAAAAAAUCCCUUGAAGGCGGGAGACUCCGGGAGGGAAGAAUCUUUCAUCCUUAUCACUUGAGUUUUGCCCGUGGCAUUCAAUGGAACUUUUGAAUAUUAUAUGGCCACAAGUGCUAUCCAGCCUUCAAUAUAAAUUUUAAAACCAGAAUAAAGUAGAGAGAGAGAGAGAGAGAAAGCAAAAUUCCAAGCCUGUGACAAAGGCAUCAGAAGUAAUUUUUCAGGGUAUGGACAAUGUAUCAAGCGAGGAUCGCAAUGCCUUACUAGUAGUCUUAGGAUUGCUUCUAGCAGCUACCUACCAAGCCAGUAUUAGCCCGCCUGGUAGUGUUUGGCAAGGUGGUGCUUGCUCAAACUCAAUUCCACAAUACAUGAAAAAAUACCGUGCACAUGGAUCCCGUGGGAUGUUAAUUUCCUUCUUUUCUAUAUUCCAGCCUAUACUGUCUUCAUAGUAGCGUUCUUCCUAACAUUGGGCCUCCUUAAACCUUUUCCCCAUGGUUUCAGGACUGCCCUUCAAGUACUACUUGCAUUUCUUGCUAUAUCUUUCGAGGAAGCAGUAUGUUUAACAGUACCAACGCCAUUAGCAUUUCGAGUUAUGAGUAUGUUUUCAGUGGUGCUUUUUAUUUUAAUGAUGUUCAUGUGUAUUGCUUAUCGGGUAUCAAAACUUAGCGUUUUUAAUUUUAGGAUGUUGGUUAUCCCCUAGUGUGUUUAACACAUUAUACCAAGGAACCUUUAACUUUAAUUACGUUUGGAUUAUAGUUGUUACAAUGUCAGUAUCCAUGGUUUUACUUGGAUUGUUUCCACUGUGGAUGGAUUAGGACGAUGUGAACGUCCGUUGACAUGGCCACCCCUCAGGAUAUAUGGAUGUUUUUGGUUGUAAAGUUUGCUCAAGUUGUUGUUUUGUGUGUUUUUUACGUAAGGAGAGCACUACGUGUUCUGUUUUUGGUUGUAUGUUGUUUCCAAUUUUAUAUAUCUAUUUGUUCUACCAAUAAAUUCAAUUCCUCUUAUUUAAACCCUUCUCUUCAUUUCACUUUAUCUUUUGUUCUAUUUUCUUUUGCUUAUAAUUUGUGUUGAUGUAUUAUUAUUAUUAUGAAAUUAAUACUCUUAUCUCAAAUUAAUUGACUCGUACAUCAAUUAAAAAAAAUUGACUUUAAUAUUUAUUGUAAAUUAUUUUAUAUUUGGUGUUGAUAAAUUAUAUAAUUUUUAACAUUAAGUAUUUGAUUUAUUAAUUGAUGUAUAAAUUAGAGAUACGCAAGAUUCAAUUUCUUUCGCUAAAGCAUAUUAUUGCUUAAUUACGAAAAAAUAAUCUUUGCGAUGAGAAUUUCUAUGACCUUUUGGGUUAAAUCAAAUAUGACAAUGUUUGCUUAGCUGUAUGGAUAAAAUCAACAUGCACGCUUAGUUAUGGCUCAUCCCCUAUGGCCAUCCAUGGCAUCCUUUGGCUAAUUACUUUCAUUUUCAUCAAGAAAUAAAAACGUUAACUUCGAAUGCUUGUUUCACAAUUGGGUUCACAUCUUGCGCAGGCUUGGACUAAUAGGCUAAUCUAAGCUUUUUUUUUUUUCCCGCUGAAUGGCCGGAUUUAAUUUAACUCGAUAAUUGCAUAAGUUGACAUUAAAAACAUAUCACUUACUAUUAUUACGCUAUUAUUAUUUAAUAAUAACUUUAUAAUUAUGUAAAAUUUAUCAAAUAUUAUAUAAAGUUUAUAUUUAAAUAAUAGAUUUUUACAUGAUUUUUCCUUAUAAUUAAAAUAUUUAAUAUUAGAGAAAAAGUCUCAUUAACGACGCACUAAGCCUAAGCAUUACUCAAAUGCGUAAAGACAAGCACGUUUAUGAUAAAAAUUUUCACUUUUCUACUUUGUCCUUUGUAUCUCUUGAUCCCUUGAAGACGAGAGACAGCGAGAGGGAAGAAUGCAAGAAGAAGAAAAUUUAUCUUAAUCCUUAUCAAUUGGUUUUUCUACUAUACUUUUAUUGUUAAGUAAAUUUUGAUAAGUUGAGUUCUGAUGAUUGAAUAUGAUAUACCAGCUUUCAAUAUUUUAAAACCAGUAAGGUAGAGACAGCGAGAGUUAUCCUUUUAGUGAAUACUACUUUGUCUUCCCGAUAACUACUUCUGUUUAUGCCUUAUCUGUUUUGCACAUAGCUGCGCGCAAUAAUCAACCCAAGGUCCGAUCUCUUCCCCUCUUAAUUAAUUUUACUUUUACCAAAAAAGAAUGGAUUAAUUCUUUAAUUUGGGAUUGUAUUUCACGGUCAAUUGAUUGUGGCUUUUGUUUAUGUCUCAAACUGCUAUUAAAAUGCAAGGCUGAUAAGCGUGCGACCAAUCAAGCUGGUUCAACGACACUGGCUGUUGCAAACGAACUUAAUAACAUAGACAGCAUUAAUAUUCUGCAUGGUUGGCGAAGUGCAAGAGUUCUAAACUUUGAACAUAAAAUUCAGAAGCAAAUGGUCAAGCACGUGACAAAGGCAUCAGAAGUAAUUUUCCAAGGUGUGGACAGUAUAUCAAGUGAGGAUCGCAAUGCCUUACUAGUAAUUUUAGGAGUGCUUCUAACAGCGACCUACCAAGCCAGUAUUAGCCCGCCUGUUAGUGUUUGGCAAGGUGAUGGCUCCUCUAACUCCAAUUCCACUGUAGGACAUCAUGGAAAAUUACCAGGCAAAUCGGUCAUGGAUCAAGCUAAUUUCCCUUUUUUCUAUAUUCCAGCCUAUACUGUCUUCAUAGUAGCGUUUUUCUUAACAUUGGGCCUCCUUAAACCUUUCCCCCAUGGUUUCAGGACUUCUCUUCAAGUGCUACUUGCAUUUCUUGCUAUAUCUUUCGACGGAUCAAUAACUUCAUAGUGCCAACUAAUUUAGCACUUUUAGUUGUGUGUUUGUUUUCAACGUUGGUUUUUGUUUUAAUGAUGGUCAUGUGUGUUGCUUACCGGGUACAAAAAAUUAGCGUUUUAUUUUUAGGAUGCUGGUUAGUGCCUGGUCUGUAUGGCCCAUUUCAGACAGGAUCCUAUUUAAUUAUAGGUUGCUGGUUAUUUUUUAAUCUACAUGAUCUAUUCUGGAUACGUUCCACUUUAAUUGUAGGAUGCAUUUAGUACUACAACGGUUUCAUUACCUCUGGAUGGUAGUUGCUGUAGUUUCAGUACCCAUGGUAUUACUUGCUUUGUUUCUAUUGUGGAUAGAAGUAGUGCGAUGAGAACGUGGGUUAACACUGAAUGAAGCUCUAAAGAUGGCGUUAUCUCUAUUUGUUGUACCUUCAAUAAAUUCAAUUCCUUUUACAUAAACUCUUCUCCACAUUUUACUUUAUCAUUUCAUCUACUUUGUUUUGCUUAUAAUUUGUUCUGAUCUAUUAUUAUGAAAUUAAUACUCCUUCUAUCUCAAUUUGAAAAUUCACAUUUGACUGGCACAAAAUAUUGACUAUAAAUUAUUUUAUGCAUAUUAUUGAUAAACUAUAUAAUUUUUUAUUUCAAAAAGAAAAUAUAAAUAUAUAUAUAUAAUAAAAAUUAAUAUGAAACAAAAAAAAAAGUAAGAGCUAUAACUUAUAGAUGCUCAAGAUUCAAUUUCUUUCGCAAAAUCACACUAUUCCUUAAUUACAGAAGAAGAAAAAAAAGUAAAAUACUCAAACACCUCUAAGUUUUAAUUAAAAUUACCUUUCAAAAAAAAAGUUUUAACCAAAAUUAAAUGGAGGUCUAUUAAUUUGAGAAAUAGACACUCUAUCUUAAAAGAAUAUCUAUUGCUGGACACAUAAAUUCAAUUGUUAGCCAAGCUUUAAGAUUUCGAUUAGUUUGCUGACGUGAUAAUAUCUUUGAGACAACUUUAUCCUCGAAUAUGUCAAAAGUUACAAUACUAUAUAAACUUUUAUUUUUUAUUUUUUAUUUUUUUCUUAAAAAAAACUACCUACCUUCUCUAGCCAGAUCCAAUCGGAAUAUCGCACUCCUUCAAGAGAAUGCUAAGGUCGCGCUCCCUUCUGAGGGAACUGUUGUGCUCCAUCAAGGGAAUUGUCGUGCUCCCUCAAGGAAGCGCCAGAGCUCCCCUCUGGGUGCAAUUUUGAGCUCCAGAUCGCGUCAAAUCUAGCACUCCUCGAUGUUGAGGAAUGCAAAAUCUAGCCACAAGGUAGUCGACUGGCUAGUCAAAUUGUCUAAAAAAUGAAAAUUUGACAGAAAGAGGAAAGAGUAUUUUAGUUUUAUUAAUUUUUUUGUUAAUGGUGUUAAGAUUUUUGGGUGUAAGUGUCUAUUUUCUAAAUUAAUAAACUUACAUGUAAUUUUGAUCAAAACUUAACGGUGUAUGGGUAUUUUACCAAAAAAAAAAAAUCAGUGUGCAUGGGAGAAUUUCUAUGACCUUUAGGUUAAAUCAAAUAUGACAAUGUUUGCUUAGCUGCAUGGAUAAGGAAGGUUAACACGAGUUCAGGAGAGCUUACCGUCUCAGUGUUAUCUUAAAAGGGAUGGAAACAUACACAUCCUCUAGCAAUAUCGGCCUUUGCAUAGAUAGAUGUUUUCAACAUAAAAUGUUGAGUUGAAUUUGAUAAUGUUCAUUGAAUUGAAAUGUUCAUCUUCUUCCCCAGUUCCUGUCUCCAUCUAUCACAUUCUUUUGCUAAAUAUUUUCAUUCUCAUCAAGAAAUAAAAACGUUAAGAACUUCAAAUGCUUGUUUGUGAUUUUGGGUUCACAUCUAGCUUAGGCUUGGACUAAUAGGUCGGCUCAAGCUUUGCUCUUCUUUUUUGGCUGAAUGGCCCAAUCAAAUCUAGCUCGAAAUGCUCAGUAAGAUGUUUCAAACACCCAUCUGUAGUACAAGCCAUAUCUAAGUUACUAACACUUAUACAUAUACACCCAUCACAAUCCUGAUCAAUUGAUUGUUCUACCACAGCUUUACUGUUAGCUUACAGUUUUUUUCUUAGCCAUCAUUUUAUUAAUGUUUUCAAUAACGAACAUUCGAGAUAAGAAGACAGAGCCAGAGCAAAACAGAGCAACAAUAAUACAAACGUCAAGGCCUACCACCCACGUCGAGCCUUUUCUCUUUUUGUUUUUGUUUUUAAUCUUUUCUUGUUGAUUGUAAUUGACUGACUAAACAAGUUUCCAAUAAGUUAAGGUCCAUCCAUUAAAAAAGUUUAAAAAGUUGAGGUCCAGGACAUCCAAAAUGAAAAUUUAAUAUUAUUACAUUUAGAACCGGAUUAAAUUAAAUAUUAAGUAUUUGAAAGAUUUGGAGAAAUAAUUGAAUGAGAGAAAAUUUUAUAAUAAUUCUCCCUAAAUAGAAAAUCCCAAUAAAUGAAAUCAGAAUCAUGACAUAUUAUUAGAUAAAUCAUUAUUUAUCACUGUUAGUUAUAAAUUAGACAAAUUAAAAUGUAACACAUAAAAGUGAUCCCUUGAAGAUGGGAGGCACUGGGAGGGAAGAAUGUAAGAAGAAGAAAAUUUAUCCUAAUCCUUAUCAGUUAAUUUUUGUACCAUACUUUUAUUGUUAACAAUUACAUAUUAUAAUAGUAUUAAGUAAUUUUUAACGAGUUGAGGUCCAGGGCAAUCAACGGGACGUGUUGAAUAUUAUAUAGCCACUGGUGCUAUCCAGCAUUCCUAGGAUAUUUUCUCUCAUUCAUGCCGGUAGCUCCUGUUGUUUUCGUUUUUAUGAGCUCUCUCUGCAACCAAGAAAUGGUUGGCUGUUCUGGUUGUCUUCAAGUUUCAGCUUCUGGUUUGGCUGUUUUGCUGUGACUGUCUUCAUAUCCGAUGUUACUUAUGUUUUCUCAAUUUAUAGCUCCGCCAUUGUAUGUGGAUAUUAUUCUCAGCAUCUUGGUGAUUGUUAGUGUUUAUCCAGCAUCUUUGAUUGUUAUUCUCUAAGUUGUUCUACCAGCUUGUUGUCAUGUUGAUUUUUUCUGGUCCUAUUACCUUGUGCUGAUGCUUCUGUCAUUUGAGUAUCUGAACUAUUUUUUGGAUCAGCCUAUUGCUGAUUCCUCGCCGCUUCAUCCAGCUUGUUAAUAAAAUCCACAUCUUUUUUGGCUGACAAAAAAAAAAAUUAGAGACAGCCAGAGUUGUCAUCUUAGUGUAUAGUACUUUGUUUCCACGAAAACUAAUUUUGUUGCUGCGUUUUCUGUUUUUUCAACUUUCCUGAUUGACUUUCAUUGACCGACUUAAUAGUAUCGAGCUUUUAUAUCGUGGAAAUUGCCCAAAAAACAACAAAGAUAACACUUAGAGAAAUCAAACAAAUAAAAAAAUACAAACAUUUACAUGGUUUGGCCUCUUGCCUACGUCCACGAAAUGAAACUGUUUUUUUUAUUAUUGAGAAAUUAAAGUACAAUAAAUUGACCUCUAUGGUUCCCCAAACCAACUCAAGAUCUUUUGCACACUCUUUCUCAAUAACCUCCCAAGAACAUUUACCAAACCACUCUAGCUACACUUAGAGCAAAAGGCAAAGUUACAAGGUGUCCCCUCUCUAGAGUUUUCAAAACACUACUUGCAAUUCUAAAGCCUAGAGAUCUACUUUUAUAGUAUAAAAAUCCAAAGUAGAAUAUGAUUCGGACUCGAUGUGGAAUAAGAAGUUUAAAACUAUACAACUACUUAAUAUUAUAAACAAACAAGAAUCCCAAUCAAAUAAAAUCUAUAAUUCUAGUCAACCUAAAACUCAGCAAAUCUCCACCUUUGACUUGAAUUCAAACUCCUUAAACCUCUUCCACCAGUCACACCUAAUUGAAACUUCCUAUUGCACCUACUUUCCAACACUUUGAACAACUCUCCAAACAUAAGACUUUCCAAAUCAUUGGCCUUUAUAAUUACCACGACUACACAUACUGAAUCAAGCAUGGUCCAACACUCGAUUCUACAAAACGGCCAAUGCACUUGUGUAGCUGUCAAGUCAAUGGCACUAAUUGACUUUGGAAAGGGACCUUGACGACCCUUCCAAUUCAUUACUGACAAGAUUUUUCUUUCUUUCACCAUCGUCUACACCAUGGGAACCUUCCAUCACCUCCUCGGCAAAUGAAAUCUCACUUUGGUAGCUAUCAUCUCUUAUGCAUUGUUCCCAUCCUUUCGAGGCCUCACAUUCUAGACGAUACAAGCCAUUAUGCAAAUUCCCUCUCAUCAGGACCAUGUCGCCUUGUGUGACUUUUACCACUCCAUCACAAGCUUAAUAUUCAUUCCCUUUGGAGUCUAACAGGCUCAAUGAUAUUAGAUUUUUACACAUCUUUGGGACAUUAGCCACACCACCCAAAGAGCGCACAACCCCAUCAAACAUUUUGAUUUUCACCACUCCAAGACCCAUGACCUUCACUAUUGACUUAUUACCCAAAGUCAAAUUCCCAACCACCCCUUCUUAAAGUAAAUCAAAACAAUCUUUUUGAUAACAUAUGUGAGUGACAGAAGCAGAAUCUAAAUACCAAUAAGAAUUUGUAUUCAUAUUUUUUGAAAUUGUAAGGACAUCACAAUCAUCACCUUUAGUAACGAAAGCACACUCACCUUUGUUCUCGUUACUUUCAUCCCCUUUUGUAGGACAAUCCCUUUUAAUUUGUCCAUACCUUUGCAUUGAAAGCACUGAACAUUGUUGGAUCUAGACUUGCCACCCUUAGAUCUCAUACCGGUUGACUUCCUCUUACGAACCUCAAUUACCAAUGCCAAGCCACUUGGAUCUCUAUCCCAUUCCUUACUUUUCUUUUGGGCUUCACGAGACAUUAACAUUGCUUGUGCUUGAUCUAACGUUAUUGUAUCCAUCCCACAUAUCAGAGAUUCCACAAAUACCUCAUAGGAAUCUAGAAGCGAAGCUAGGAACAAUAGUGCAUUUUCCUCUUAUUGCACCUUCACAUCAGCCUUCUUCAACUGAUCAAUGAUCCCAUUGAAAUCAUUCAUAUGCUUCAUGAGGUCUCCAUUCUCCUCCAUCUUUAAGUGAUACAACUUUCACCUAAGCUGCAACUUGUUGGAAAGACUUUUCGUCAAGUAAAUGUUCUCUAACUUUACCCACAAUCUUGGAGCAUAAUCCUCAUCAAUAACAUGGUUAAACACGUUAUCUCCAAUGCAAAGUUGAAUACUGCUCACACACCUUUGCUCUAACUUUGCCCAUUCAACUUCCUUCAUGUUAUCUGGUUGCCCUUCCUCCUUUCCUAGCAAGGGGUGCAUUAACCCUUGCUGCACAAAGAGAUCUUUCAUCCUUCUCUGCCACUACGUGAAACUAGUCUUCCCAUCAAACUUCUCAAUUGACAAAUUCAUAGAACUAGUGACUUUCGACAUCCUUGUUGAAUCUUUAAUUUACCAAACCCGAAGCUCUGAUACCAGUUUGUUGUGGAAAUUUCCCAAGAAACAACAAAGAUAACACCCAAAAAAAUCAAGCAAAUAGAAAAACACAAGAAUUUACGUAGUUCAGCCUUUUACCUACGUCCACGAAGUGAAACUAUUCUUUCUAUUAUUGAGAAAUUAAAGUACAAUAAAUUGACCUCUAUGGUUCCCCAAACCAACCCAAGAUCCCUUGCAUACUCUUUCUCAAUAACCUCCCAAGAACACUCACCCAAACCACUCUAACUCUACCUAGAGCAAAAGAUAGAGUUACAAGGUGUCUCCUCUCUAGAGCUUUCAAAGCACUAUUUGCAAUUCUAAAGCCUAGAGAUCUACUUUUAUAGUAUAAAAGUCCAAAUUAGAAUGUGAUUAGAACUCGACGUGAAAUAAGAAGUUUAAAACCAUAUAACUACUUAAUAUUAUACACAAACAAGAAUCCUAAUCAAAUAAGAUCUAGAAUUCUAGUCAACCUAAAACUUAACAUUUUACUUGUAAGUAAGUCGAGGUUUUCUUUACUCUUUUAAUCAAUUACCUAUAAAUUUAUCAUUAUUAUAAGCCUUUUCAUCUCACUAUGUUAACUAGAUGGAGGGGAGCUCCUCAACUAUUUCUUUUUCAAAUGAAACCAUUCAGGAUUUCCUUCAUGCCCUCUUAAUUACCCUUUUAAUUGCUAUAUAAAGUGGCCUAAUCCUUUUUCUAUUUUCUGCAUGUCAUUGUCAGUUGGCUCCCCUAAUAUGGAUGAAUGCUUGAGGAAGGCUACUCAAAAAGGAGAUAUUGUUGAAAUAUAUGCAUCAAUCCAAAGAGAUGGAGAUAUUUUCAGGCACAUUGGUGAGAUGGAGUUCGUUGACACUCCAUUACACAUAGCUGCACCUUGAGGGUGGAUUGAUUUUGCAAUGGAGAUAAUGAUCUUUAAGCCGUCAUUCGCUAAGAAGCUAAACCCAGAAGGUUUUACUCCCAUUCACCUUGCAGUGGAAAAUGGGCAUGAAGAGCUGGCACUACAUCCCAUUCACCUUUGCACUGUGCAAUAACUAGAGAACAAAAUCUUGAACUGUUGGCUAGAUUUUUAGAAGCUUGUCUUGAAUGUUUUCGAGAUAUGACAACUACAAAGCAGACUACUUUGCACAUUGCAACGAGAAACAAUAGAUUGGAAGCUCUUCAACUUCUAUGUCGGAUGCUUAGGAAAAGUGACUACUGUCAAGAUGUGGUGAACCAAAAAGACAGGAAUGGUGACACGGCCUUACACAUAGCUGUGCACAAUAAUCAACCCCAGGUCCGAUCUCAUCCCUUCAAACUAAUUUUACUUUUAGUAAAAAAGGAAUGGAUUCUUUAUUUUGGAAUGGUAUUGAUGGUCAAUGAAUUAUGGCUUUUAUUUAUGUCUCGAUAAAACAGAUGCUCAAACUACUACUAAAAUGCAAGGCUAAUUAGUUUGCGACCAAUCAGGCUGGUUCAACGGCAUUGACUGUUGCACAUGAACGUAAUAACACAAAGAGCAUUAAUAUUCUGCGUGGUUGGCGAAGUGCAAGCUUUUUCAACUUUCAACGUACGAAUUGUACACAAAUGUAUGUGACAAAGGCAUUAAAAGUAAUUUUUGAGGGUAUGGAUAGUAUAUCAAGUGAGGACCGCAAUGCCUUACUAGUACUUUUAAGAUUGCUUCUAACAGCUACCUACCAAGCUAGUAUUAGCCCUCUUGGUAGUGUUUGGCAAGGUGAUUCUUCCUCAAACUCCACUUCCACUCAAGUAUAUGAUGAACAAGUACCGAGCAAAUCGGUCAUGACUGAAACUUAAUUUCUUUUUUUCUAUAUUCCAGCCAAUACCGUCUUUAUAGUAACGUUUUUUCUAACAUUGGGCCUCCUUAAACCUUUUCCCUAUGGUUUCAGGACUGCCCUUCAAGUACUACUUGCAUUUCUUGCUAUAUCCUUCGACGAAUCAGUAUCUUUUAUAGAGCCAACUUAUUUAUCACUUUUAGUUAUCCAUACAUUUUCAGUGCUAAUUUUUAUUUUAAUGAUGCUCAUGUGUGUUGCUUAUCGGGUAUCAAAAAUUAGUGUUUUAAUUCUAGGAUGUUGGUUAAUGCUGGUUAAUGCUUGAUCUGUAUCAUUCAGUUUGGUUUAGACCCUUUUUAAUUCUAGAGUUUUGGUUAAUGCUUGGUCUAUGUGAUCCAUUAUGGAUAGGAUUCAUUUUCGUUGUAGGAUGUGUUUUAGCAAUAUUGAGGACUUUAACAUCCACAUAAUUGUUAUAGUUCCUGUAUCCUCAUUAGUACUAACUCUGUUUCUACACUAGAUAAAAGUAGUACAAUGAGAACGUUGGUCGACAUACCACCCCUCAAGAUAUAUUGUCGAUCCCUUUGGUUGUCUCUUUGUUAGUUUGUUUCUUGAGGAUUUCUACUGAAGAGUGGAGUGGUAAGAAGGGAGGGUUUUUUUUUUUUUCGUGGCGGUUGCGUUUUGUCUUUCUGUCUCUGAGGGUUGGGUUGUGGGCAAGGGUGGUCUCCUUCAAAGGCUUGGAAAGAUGAGAGUGGAUCAGCAGGGGUGGGGAGUUGAGGGUGUUAGAAAAAUUAGCAACAAAGGAAAAUAAAACAAGUAAAAACAGUAAUUGGUCUGGGGCGUGGUAUCACUGUCCUUAAGGAUAAUUUUCGCCUCUUCGGAGUAUAAAACUCUAUGCAAAAGGACUGUAGCGAUUAUCCUCCAAGAUUCAACAGACCCUUUCUUAUAGUUUGCACAAACUAUUAAGGGAUGACAGGAAUAGCAGAAAAGUUGAAACCCAACUAGAAAAUAAAGGAGGCAAAGAAAGCUUAAGGGAAGAAAGGAGGCAGAGGAAAUUAGUCGAGAAAGCUUAAGAAAAGAAAAGCUUUGGUGUGUGUUGUGAGUGAUAGUGUGAGGCUGUAUUUAUAAAAACCUGGUCAGCAUUUAACUAAGUCAGAUAAACGUUGGAGCAAAACCAGGAUAAACGUUGAGCAAAACUAGGAGAACCAAGUAAGCAUGAUAGAGUUUGAGUUUCAUUUAAUCAAAGGCUGAAAAAGCUUAAAAAAAUUAAAGUCAAGGAACAAAAAGUCACUUGAGCUCAGCCCAUGUGUAUAUUAGCGAGCAUGGGGGGAAUUUGAAAUUUCUAAAGGUUUGGCCCAAUCUUGUGUUUGAGCGAGCCCACUCCGUUUUCCUUACUUGCAACAAGCCCAUAGUUGGUUUUCAUAUAUAAAGUAUUCACAUUUUAUGUAUCUUGGCAAUAUGAGAUGUUUGAACCUUAUGAAAUACAUUAUUUUCCAACAGAGGGUUUUCUUCGGUUUUCUUUCUUUGUGCUCCUCUUCUGUGAUCGGGCACCUCAUUUCUUGUGCUGGGGUGCUUUGGUGGGAUGAAGCUGCUUGGUGAGUCCUUGUGCAAUGCUCUCUCUCCAAGGAUCAAAGGUGGUUCCUGGCGCGUGCUGUGCUGCAAUGAUCCGUUCCAAGAGUUGCUGCAGCCCAGUCUCCUCCUUGAUGGAUUGUCAUUUCCCUUGCGAGUCUGUUUGUUGGCAAUCCUUCAAAGGGGAAUGUUUGCUGGAUUCUGUUGGCUGCUCACAUUGUUGGAGUGGGGCCGCUGCUUUCGUCUUCAAGAAGGUGCGCACGUCUGGCCUGGAUCAAUUCAGGAUGUCUAGGGUCCUUUUGCUGUCUCUCUUUCCUUCGGUUGUUUCUACGCUGGCUACCGUGGUAUUUGCUGUCUUAAACGUCCCAAUGUCUUACUCUUUUGGGUGAUCUUGUCCGUUAGGUCCUUACUUCUUUCCUACCAGUUUCAGCUUACGGUUGGCUUGAGUUCUUGUAUAAGCUAUUGUUCUUGUUUUAACGCUGCCAUUCUUCUUGUGCAGUUGAACUAUGUAUUUUCUUGUUUUCCCUUUGCCAAGCCGAUUUUCAUGCCAAGGGAGUCUAAGGCAAUCUCAGCUGGAGACUUUCUUUGAUAUAUCGAUAGUAUGACCAAUAAAAUCUAUUUUUCAAAGAAAAAAAAAAACGUUGAACGAAGCUCUAAAGAUGGCUGCUACUGCGUCUAGAUAUUUCCUAUUUACGAUUUUGUAUCUUUAUUUGCUGUAUGACAAUGUACCACCCAAAAAUUCAAUUUCUUCCAAUGCAAAAUCAUCUCUACUUUUCUCUUUAUCUUUUAUUCUACUAAUUUAUUUUACUUAUAAUUUGUGUUGAUAAAAAAUUAAAAAAUAAUUAUUAUAAUUUUAGCAUAUAGUGUAAAUUAUUUUAUAAAUAGUUUUUUCCUUUUUUUUUUUUGUCAAAAUAAGCUGCAUAGUCUUAAGUUCAAAAAAGUAAAUUUAUAUUAACCCUCUUGUAUUUUUUGUGUUCUGAACUUAUAACACAUUAACCCUAUUGACAACCAUUGGGCUAACAGCAUUUCUCCUCCCAGGUGCUUCUAUUGCUUUGCUAUUGCUCGUGCCACUUUCAUUUUUGUGUUCAAGCUACAUGCUCUCCAUGAGCAUCUUAUCCCCGACUCCUCUUUGGUCCAAAUGGAAUACAUUUCAAUCAAUAGUCUUUAUUAUGUUGCUGGUAUUGCAGUUUCCUUUGCGGUGCUUAAGUCGAAGAAAUUGAUGUGUUGUUAGUGUGAUAGGAGCUGACAAGUUUAAUAUAUAUGCCUCACCAUGUGGAAUAUCUAAAUAUAGCUUUUCCUCUUGCUUUUUUGUUUUCUCUUUUCUGUGUGUUUUGUCUUUAGCUGCAUGGAUAAAACCUAAAUCAAUGCUCAAGCAUUGGAAUUAAAAUAAAAGAAUCUGACGAAAUUUAUCUUAAUCCUGAUCAAUUGAUUUUUCUACCAUAGUUUUAUUGUUAGCUUGCAGUUUUUUUUCUCAGCCAUCAUUUUAUUGAUGUGUUCAACGAUGAACAUCUGAGAUACGAAGACAGAGCAAUAAUAAUACAAACAGUAAGCCCUAGCACCCGACGUCACGCCUAAAUUUAUGUUUAUUAAAAUCACCUUUACGCGACAGGCAACACAACACUUCCUAUCACCAAACCAAAUUAUAGUAGGAAAAUCAGUCAUAGCAUAAAACAAUCCCUUAGCCUCAUCAAAGCAGAAAGACAAUAUGACUUCAUCCAGUAUAGAAUUGCUUCUCUAAUUUGUGUCGAACACUCGUCUGCCUAUCAGAAUACUCCCUUCCUGAACAGCAAGCACUUAUAUUCGUAAGAUAGUUCGUUCAGUGUUAACUUCUUAAAAGAUAUUAAAUAGAAAAAACCCAAUAAAAUAGAAGUUUAACUUAAAUCGAUUUGCUAGAACGACUUCUAAUGUUUCUGUGAUAUUUAAGAAUCCAAUGAAUCGCAAUCAUUGAAUCCAAUUCAACAAUUAAUUAACGACCUCUUUCCCAACACCAUGAUGAGUGAUGAAAAAUUUUAAAAACCAUCUCUCCCUUUCUUGACUUACAUUGAUUUUUUAUUCUUAUGAGCCAACCAUAAGUUUUGAAUAUUACAUAGCCACAAGUGCUAUCCUCCCUUAAAUAUAUUUUAAACCAGAUUAAGUAGUGAGAGAGAGAGUUGUCAUCAUAGUGGUCCAAAGAAGACUGUUUUCUUUAUAAAAAAAAUCUAUCCCGGAUUUUACCUUUUUUGACUUUAAUUGACUGACUAAACAUGAUUUUAAUAACUUGACGUCCAUUCUUUAGAAAAAAAAAAAAUAGAGGCGAGUGGUUGCAGCCCUUAAAAUUUUAAAAUAUUUUAUAUAUUAUAUAUUUAAAACAUUAAUUCAUAUCAUUAUUAUGAGAAUGCGUUAAGAAAAACAUUAAGACACUUUUUGAAUUGUGCUAAAGAUUAGUAAAAAUAAAAAAGUCAAGAAAUUAUUACUUAAUUAAUAGAUUAAUUCAUCUUGUUUUUAUUCUUCCGGUUUCUACAAUAAUUAUAGAGAAAGUCUUUUUAGUAAUGAAAAUUGUGAAAAUAAAACUCUGAAAUAAAGUAAAUGAUGAGUUUCUUAUAGAUAGUUUAAUUAUUUGUAUUGAAAAAGAUAUUGUUAACCUUUUUAAUACAGAAUUAAUAAUUGAUAAAUUUAAAUACAAAAAACAUCAUCGGGUACAACUUUUUUAAAAGACUAUUAUAAGUCUUUCUUUAUAUAUUACUUUUGAUUUUCAUGCUACAUAAAAUUAUAAAAUUAUUAGAUAUUAUGAAUCUUUUGAUUGUUAGUUAAAUUUAACAUAUUAAUUUUAAAAAUUUUUAGUCUUUAUUUCUCUUUAUUUCAACCUCCCAAUAAAAGUUAACUAACUCUGCCCUUGGCAGCGUCCAAAUAAAAAUUUUAAUAUUAUUAUAGGUAGAAGGAUGCCUAGUUGUACAUAAUUUUAAAACUCCAUUAAAUUAAACAUAAGUCAUUGAAAGAUUCAAAAAGAGAGAUUAUUUGCAUUUUAUUGUACUAUUGGUUCCAAGUAGUUGGAUAUAACAAUUGUCAUGCAUAUUAAUGAAAAGUAUGAACUUAUGUAGAAGUUGACAUAGCAACUUAUAAGUACAUGUUAUAUUAUGAUAUAUAAGAUUAUGAUCAACAUGGUAAGAAACCUGUAUCUAAUAAAUUGAGGUCGAGUGCUAAAGUAUUUUAUCCAAUUUUUGACUCUCAAACGUCCUCUUAACAACACUAUCUAGUUAAAAUCUGAGAAGAAAAUUGUUAAUUUCCCUUUGAGAAAACGUCCUCUUAACAAAAUCCGAUUUUUUCUUGUUUCAUUAGCUCAGGUCGGAGAAGAAAAUUGCAAUUGAACUUUGUGAAGCAGUUCCCCUUUGAGAUAGUAUAUUUUCUUCUUUUUUACAAGCCAGAUGUCACUAGAAAUUUUUAACAAAUAACUAAAGACUUUGGAUAACAUAGUGGCUUAGUGCUAAUAAAAUCAUCUUUCAAAAGAAAAAAAAACUAGGAAAAGAGCUUUUGCUUUUGCAUUAGUUAAAAAGCACUUUCCCGAUAUUUCUUAAAAGAGCUAUCAACAAUUGAUUCAAUAUUAAAUAUAUGUAUUUUUAUUAAAAAAGUUGAGCUAGAAUUCACAAUUUUUUAAAUUAAAUAAAGAUUAUUUGAGAAAAGAAAUGCAAAAAAAAUUUUUUAUGACGUGAUAAUGCUAAUCUCAAUUUUUUUUGUGUUAUGUUAACGCCUAAAUAUAUUUUAAUAAAUAAUUAUCAUGAAAAGUUGAGGAUAUUUUAAAGAAAGAACUGUAUCUUUGCUUACUCAAAUAAUGUUUUACAUUAUGCUUACUCGUUAUUUGACUCUAACAACAACUAGACUCAAUUAAAAUCACUUCUUACUCUAUCAUUUCUCAUUUUAGAGUUAUGUCUUUCAAUUUUUUUAUAUCUAAUUAGAAGCUUCCUCAUUUUAGUGUUUUGGAUUUGUUGAAGAGAGAGUUGUCAUCUUUAGUGGUCUAAAUUAUUGAAGAUUUUAUAAUAAAUAGAACUGUUUUUUCCACAAAAACUCCUUUAUUCUGCCUUUUCUGCUUUUUAAUCUUUCCUGGUUCAUUAAAAUUGAUUGACUAAACAGCACCGAGGUUUUUCCUUGUAAGUUCGUCAAGGUACUCCUGUGCAGGGCACCCUCUCUUUACUCGUUCAAUUAAUUGCUGCGAGUGGCCUUAAGUACUAGAUAUUUUCUCUGUUUUAACUACACUCUAAUUAGCCUAAGCCCUUACAAUUACCUAUCAUUUAAUUCCGGAUUUGUAGCCUAAUCCUUUUUCUGUUUUCUGCUUGUCAUUGUACUUUCGCCCUCUUGAUAUGGAUGAAACUUUGAGGAGGGCUGCUCAAGAAGGAGAUAUUGUUGAAUUAUAUGCAUCCAUCCAAAGAGAUGGCGUUGUUUUGAGGCACAUUGAUGAGAUGCAGUUCGUUGACACUCCAUGACACAUAGCUGCAGCGCAAGGGAGCAUUGAUUUUGCAAUGGAGAUAAUGAUGUUAAUGCCAUCAUUCGCUAGGAAGCUGAACCAAGAAGGCUUUAGUCCCAUUCACCUUGCGGUGGAAAAGGGGCAUAAAGAGCUGGCCCUACGUCUCAUACAAAAUGAUAAAAAUCUUGUCCGUGUAAAAGGGAGAAAGGGUGAGACUCCUUUACACUAUGUAAAAACUACAGAACAAAACCUUGACCUCUUGGACGGAUUUCUGGAGGCUUGUCCUGAAUGCAUCCGAGAUAUGACAACCGCAAACCAGACUGCUUUGCACAUUGCAACGGAAAACAAUAGAUUGGGAGCUCUUUACCUCCUAUGUCGGAUGCUUAGGAAGAGUGACGAUUUUCAGGAUGUGGUGAACCUGAAAGACAGCAAUGGCGACACUGCCAUGCACAUAGCCGCACGCAAAAAUCAACCCCAGGUUCAACCUCAUCCCUCUAACUAAUUUUACUUUUAGUGAAAAAGGAAUGGAUUCUUUAUUUUGGGAUUGUAUUUGAUGGUCAAUUAAUUAUCAUUUUAAUUUAUGUCUCAAUCAAACAGAUUCUCAAAUUGCUAUUAAAAUGCAAGGCUGAUAAGUUUGCGACAAAUCAAGUUGGUUUGACGGUGCUGGCUGUUGCAGACGAACUUGAUAACAAAGAGAGCAAAAGUAUUCUUCCUGGUUGGCUAGGUGCAAGAGCUUCAAGCUUUCAAUAUGUAAUUCGGAAACAAAUGGUCAAGCAUGUGACAAAGGCAUCAAAAGUAAUUUUUCAAGGUAUGGACAGUAUAUCCAGCGAGGAUCGCAACACCUUACUAGUAAUUUUAGGAACGCUUCUAACAGCUACCUUCCAAGCCAGUAUUAACCCGCCUCGCAGUGUUUUGCAAGAUGAUGGCUCCCCAAACUCCAAGUCCACUGUAAAUGAAGGACGUGGCAGAUUGGUCAUGGAAGAAGUUAAAUUUCUUAUUUUCUAUAUUCCAGCCUAUACUAUCUUCAUAGUAUCGUUUUUCCUAACGUUGGGCCUCCUUAAACCUUUUCCCCGUGGUUUUAAGACUGCGCUUCAAGUAUUACUUGCAUUUCUUGCUAUAUGCUUCGACCAAUCAAUAUCUUUCAUAGCGCCAACUGAUUUAACAUAUAAAGUUAUCAGAAUAUUUUCAGUGUUGGAUUUUAUUUCAAUGAUGUUCAUGUGUAUUGGUUACCGAGUAUCAAGAAUUAGUGUUUUAAUUCUAGGAUGCUGGUUAUUCCCUGGUGUUACUCCAUUGCAGAGAGGAGCCUUUCCAAUUUUAGGGUGCUGGUUAUUCCUCGGUCUAUAUGAUCCAUUCUGGAUAGGAUCCAUUUUUAUUUUAGGAUGCAUUUCAGUAUUGUAUGAGUUUUAUUACAUAUAGAUUGUACUUGUUAUAGUUCGAACAUUCUUGUUAUCAGUUGGUAUGUUUCUAUUCUGUUUUGAGCAGUACUGUAUAUUUAAUUAUAUAGUUUCUUUUUCUUUUUCUUUUCAUGCAGUGAGUACAAGUAAUUGAGGAUAAUAAAAUCACUUUAAAAAAAAAUAGUUUUAUUGAAGAUUCAAAUUGUGAUACCCCACAUCCUAUAUCAGAUAUGAAUGUAAAUGUUAAGAUUUAUAUAACAAUCCAAGUUCAUCACUACUAAUAACUUGAGCUUGAGCUUUUAAGGACCAUGUGGUUUAGUAUCGAAAAGCUGUUAAACCAGUUGUUGGACUUAGAUUGUUACAAAUGGUAUUAGAGCCUGCAUCAGUCCGAUGUGAGUUUUCAUAUUACUUUGGUGAGAUCUUGGUCCCGUGAAUGUGAUGUGUGGCUUUAAUAUCUCUUGAGCCAUUUAGGAACAAAUCAGAUUUUUUUUCUUCUCACCAUGGGCCAUAUCUCAUGUCCUGGAAGUGGAAAGUGAUUCUUCCAAUGCCAUCAGCUAGACUAAAGACCACAACAAGGUCCAUGGCGCUUGAAAACUAUCUCCAAUGCCAUUGAAGCUCUUCUCGUAGCUGCAUUGGAAUUCCGUUGAAAUAUAUCCUACGUGAAGCCAACGCAGUGGCAGACGGAUUGGCCAAAGUGGGUGUGACAAGGACCAAUAGUUUUAGUGCUUACUUCAGGAGCUUACACAGGGAUGAAGCUACUGACCACCCCUUACCCUGAGCUUUUCUGUUACUGGUGUGCUAAGCAUUUUACUUAAGUCGAUGUAGUUGAUUGCCUUAAGUCUUGAUAGUUUCUCGACUUUGUGCUAAUCUACUAACCAAUGGUCCUUACUAUAACCAAAUUACAGUAGGAAAAUAAGUCAUAGCAGCAAACCAACCCCUUACCCUCGUCAAAGUUGAAAGAAAAUAUGACUUAGAUCCAGAACAGAAUUCCUUCUCUGUUUCAUGUCGAAUAUUCGUCUGUCUAUCAGAAUACUCCCUUCUUGAGCAGUAAGCACUCCUUAUACAGACCUUAUGAAAAUUUUUUUUAAAUUUUCUUGAAAAUCAAAUAAAAAUAAAGAAAAAAAAGAUGAAAAGAGUGUUAGUUUAAUUGGAUUAAAUCUAUGCAAUUAAAAAUAAGGGUAAAAUACAUAGACUCUCUCAAUUUUUAGUCAUAAUUCCACAUGAGUCUGUUAGUUUUUAAAAUAAAUACUCUAUACUAAAUGUGUAAAUAGUAUUAAUGCUUAAACGCAAAAUAUAUAAAACACCCUACUUUGUUGUCACUCUUUCUUUCUUUCAGGUUGACCGGUGACACUUCCUUACCUCGGCCGGCCAUCAGAUCAGUGCCCCUUGAAGAGCACCAUGAUUGGUGGUCCUUAGGAGCAUCGAAUUGACCAGCGUGGUCGGUUGGUGAAAAUAGGAUAGAGUUUUUCUAAAAAAAAAAUUAUAAUUUAGUAAUUUUGAAAAUUAAUGAAAGGUAAAAUUGUUCUUUCAAUAUUGACAUGUCAUUAAUUUAACGGAGUUGACUAACGACUAGAUUUAUAUGUCCAACAGAAAUAUUCUUUUGAGACAAAAUAUUCUUUUGAGACAAAAUAUUCAUUUUGAAAACAAAUAAACCCGCAUGAAAUUAUAACUAAAAGUUGAGAGAUUCGUGUAUUUUACCCUAAAAUAAUCAUGAAAAUCAUGUGUUAUCUAUUACACAAUAUAUAUACUUUAUUUGUAAUUGAAAUCGUCUCUUUUAAGUAUUUAACUUUCCAAAUGUAACCUUAAAAGAACAUAGUUAGAAAUUAGGCAAGCAAAACAAAUAUAUUUUGCAAUUUAUUAAAUGAAAACAUAAUUAUACUACUAUAUAUAAGCAAAAUAACAUAAGCUUAAAAACUUAUCCAUGAUGUCAUGUCCCACGUCAUCAUGGAUGGUCAUUCUCUUGCUUCAUUAACUCCAUUGAAUCUGCCAAUGGUAACUGAUUUAGUCAAUGAGGUGUUUUCUUUUUCCAGAUUUUCACUCACGUGUCUUCUUUUGUUCUAUCAACUUCUUUGGUAAUGUUAUUAAUUUCAUGGUAAUGAUUCUCUCUUUUCCUAAUGUUAAAUGAAGCAGACUUAUAUAUCAGUCAUAAUUUUACUUAUAUUUUUAUGUAAAUUAAUCACAAAUAAUUUCAAAUCACAAAAAAUACGUGGUUCAACUGCCAUUGAAAAAUGACAAGGUCGAAGUUUUCAGUGUCCUGGUGGGAUGGCUUCAGAGGAACCUUCAUAGAGAUGCUGAAUACUGGGAAAAAGAAAUCGUCAAUUGGAGGGACAGUGAAGACGAAUUUGUGUUGCACAUUGCCGCAAAAGGAAGCUAACGUCAGGUACUCUGUGUGUGUCUGUAUAUAUAUAUAUAUAUUCAAUCACACAAAAUAAAUAUAACCUUAAAGAACAUAGUUAGAAAUUUGGCAAGCUAGCAAAAUAAAUAUAUUUGUAAUUUAUUAAAUGGAAACAUAAUACUACUAAUAUAUAUACAAAAUAACAUAAGCUUAAAAACUUAUCCAUGAUGUCAUGUCCCUCAUCAUCAUCUGUGGUCAUUCUAUUGCUUCAUUAACUCCAUUGACUCUGCCAAGGGUACGUAAGUUAGUCAAUGUGGAAUUUUCUUUUUUCAGAUAUUCACUCACGUCUUUUCUUCAAUUCUAUCAACUUCUUUGUUAACGUUAUUAAUUUCAUGAUAAUGAUUGUCUCUUUUCCUAAUGUUAAAUGGAGCAGACUUAUAUAAUUUAGCUAUAUAAGUGUAAGAUAAAGUUAGACAUUAACUUUAUUAUAUCCAUAAUGUUAUUGGCAUUAUUCCCUUUUGCACACCAAGUGAUAAGGGUGAAAUAAAUAAAAAAUAAUGUCAAUUGAAAAGUUCACUUUUAAAUUAAUUUUACUGAUUCUUUGAAUUCCAUCUAAACUUCAUUUUCACACCAACAGUUUGGUGUCCCCCAUUAGAAUCCCCGCCACUCAAAAAUGCGCUCCAUAUAAUCUCAGAAUAGUGACAUGAGAUUAAAAUAUGAACACAGUCCUCAUUCAAAUCACACCAUGAACAUAAGUCAUUAUCAUUUUCAAAGUAAAUAUCAGUAGCUCACAAGAAGCUUGUGGCUGCAAUGGAAUUUAGGAGAGCUAACCAUUAAAGAAAUUGAAUAUUUGAGAGGAUAACGUAUUUUCAAAUAGAUAAAUCAUACUUUCUUGUCUCCAUAGUUGACUGACUUCCUAACUACUCAUGAAUUUAAUGUUGAUGUUGACGAAAGUGCUAAGCAGAUCUAGAAACUCCAUGAAGCAGUUCGAGAGAAGAUUAUUCUUCAAACUGCUAGAUACCAAAAGCAAGCCAACAAGCACAAAAAGUUAGCUAAUUUUGAGGAAGGAGAUUUUGUGUGGAUUCACUUAAGGAAAGAACGUUUUCCGAAGUGUCGUGCCAAAUUAUCUCUUCAAGCUGAUAGACCAUUUUAAGUUUUAAAAUGUAUUAAUGAGAAUGCUUACAAGAUUUGAGCUUCUUGGAGAUUAUAAAGUUUAUUCUACCUUCAGUAUUGCUGAUAUCUCUCCUUACUAUGGAAAACACAAAGAAGAUAGAUUUUGAAAGUGAUUUUUCUCCAAUUUAGGGAGAAUGAUAAAGGAGUAUGUUAUUAUCAUAUUAUUAUCCAGGUCUCACAUAGGAGUUAUAGGAUAAAUAAGAGUUUUAGUUUAUUUAAGAAUUGUAGGAUAAAAUAAAAAUCCCACAUAAGAAAAUAAGAAAGUUCUCUUUCUUAGGAAUAGUUAUAUAAAGCCUUAAUUGUUACGCAUAUUGAAGUUAAGAAUAGAUAAAAAAUAUUUUCUUGAAUAAGUAGUGCUUAUUUUCUCUAUAUCGAUUAAGAGGUUCUAAUAUCUUUAGUUUGGCUUGGGAGUUUACAAUUGUUCUCUAUAUUGCUUAUUUUCCCUAUAUUUUCUCUAUAUUGAUUAAAUAAGAAUUGAUUACAAUUGUUCACUUAUUAUGUUUCACUUUAAUGGCAUUUUUAAAAGUGAAAAUUUGACUAUUUUUUACCUUAAUGGGGUUUUCAAAGUUCAUUGGUGUUCACUUAAUGAAUUAUGGUUAUUUGAUAUCAAUUCUUACAGAGGCGGAGCUAGUCAAUUUUUAUUAAGGGGGCCAAAGACAAAGAGAAAUAAAAGGCUAAAAAAUUUUAAAAUUAAUACGUUGAACUUUAGUAUUAACGAUCAAAAAAUUCAUAAUAGACAAUAAUUUUAUAUAAAAUGUAAAUUAAAAGAAAUAAAAAAAAACUUAUAAUAGUCCUCUAGCAAAGUUUUGUUUAACGAUGACAAUGUCCUCCGCAUUAUAAACAACUAACUUAUUUGUAAGAAACUCAUUAUCCAUUUUGUUCUAGAGUCUUAUCUUUCUCAAUAUAAACAAUUAAAAAAUUAAUGCAGUCAACAUCUAAUAAAUUAAUAUAAACAUUUAAAAAUAUAAACAAUUAAAAAGUUAUGCACAUAAAAUGGAUCUCCUUAUUAUAGGAGUUCUUCAAAUACUUUCUUAUGAUCUUGUAACUUGGAGGUACGGUUUAUGUCCCCCUCCUCUGUACUUCUUAUUUAGUAUUUAAUAAAAUUUAACAGGGUAGCUGGGCCCUGCGUGAAUUUUCAGCAUAAAAAAAAAACAUAUAAUAUUCUUAUUUUAUUUCUAUUUAACCUUAAAUUAUUAAAUAUUAAACUAUAAUGCAUAAAAUAUAAUAGUUAAAUACGCUAUACAUAAUUAAUAAUUUUCUCUUAUAUAAUCAAGAUUGUUUAAAGACUAAAUACUCAAGAUAAUUUCCUUUCAACUUAAUAUAAAAUGUAAAACACAUUAAAAAGAUAUACGAUCAAGAUAAUUUCUUCUUAUAUAAUUAAAAUUAAUAAAAUAUUAUAUAUUAGUGAAAUUUUAAGCAACAACCAAUUAUGCAAAGCUAGAACUUAUAUUUGAGAAUCACAUAAUAAUUUUUUAAUUUUCAAAGACUAAAAUCAUUGAAAAUAAUAUCUACAUAACAAAAAAAAUGAAGAACAUAACAAGUAGAAAAUAAAACUUACAUAACGAAAAUGAAAAAAAGAAGAAUAUGGUUGAUAGUUCGUUGAAAAUUGAAAAAGAAAAUCUAUAGAAACUCAGAAUAUAUGAGCAAAUAGAAUAAAUUGAAAAAAAUAAAAAUAAAUAAUAAUAAUAGAAAAAGAAAAAAAAAUUUCCUUCAUUGUAAUUUCAUAAUGAAAAGACAAAAAAAAAGAGAGAGGGAAAAAGGUGUGGAGAAACUUAAAGAGUAAAAUUGAAUAAGGAUUGUAGGAUCAUUUUAUUAUCUUUUAUUUGUGUUAAUUAUUUAAUAAAAAUUAUUUUAAAGAAGUCAUUAAAAAAUAUAUAAUAUAUAAAAUUUUUAAAAAUUUUGGGGGACCAUAGGAAAGGGACGCUCAACUUUAUAACAUGAACACAGUCCUCACUCAAAAAGUUUGUGGCUGCAAUGCAGUUUAGGAGAGCUAACCAUAAAUUUUGGAGAGGAUAACGUAUUUCCAAAUGGAUAACCAUACCAUUUUUGUCUCCAUAGUUGACUGACUUCCCAAGGCAGUUGUCGCGUUCUCUACAGAAAAUGUUGUUUUCGCAUAAAGACAUGAGCUUCAACCUCAAAGGUCGAAAAAACCUCUCAGUUUCAGAUGGAGAGAGCACAAUUUACGAGUCAUUAUUUUCUUAUAAUAUAUCUUAUAUGUUAUAAUUUAUGUAGUAAUUGACAGCUCAACCAAACGUAAAUAGGAACAUGGAAAAAGUAGUUUGACGGGUGCAUGCAGGGAUAUAACAGGUAUGACUUGCCCCAAAAACGAAUCACUUCGAUCAGCGUGGACCCAAGGUUGAGGGAGGCAGCUCGAACCGGAAAUACAUGUUCCUAUAAGCAAAAUAUAAUUUAUUAAAUAAAAACAUAAUUAGACUUCUAUAUAUAAGUAAAAUAACAUAAGCUUAAAAACUUAUCCAUGAUGUCAUGUCCCUCAUCAUCAUCGAUGGUCAUUCUCUUGCUUCGCUAACUCCAUUGAAUCUGCCAACGGUACCUAAGUUAGUCAAUGUGAAAUUUUCAUUUUCCAGAUUUUCACUCACUGUCUUUUUUUCUCAAUUUUAUCAAUUUUAUCAAUUUUAUCAAUUUAUCAAUUUUAUCAAUUUUAAUUUUAAUUUGGAGGAUACCUACUUCUUUCUCAACCACAGAAAAUAAGUACUACUACAAGUAGACUAAACCCUUCCAAUUGUUUUCCUGUGAUUAUUAUUAAAUCUUAUCGAUGGAUGAAAGGUUGAGAAGUGCAGCACAAUCAGAAAAUUAUUAAAUCUUAAAAAGUAUUGUUAUGUAAAUUUUUUAUUGCACUUUUUUCAACUUGAACCGUCAUUGUUAAUGUACGCAACUUUUAUAGUUGUAUUUUUUUUCAAAAUAUUAUCAAACAUUUGUAUGAUACAAUUAAAUCUAUAGAAAGAGUACUAGAUGUGUAAAAAGAGUAUAAUUAAAAAGAUUUGUAACAAUACUAUUGGAAAAAAUAUAGCCAAAGGUCAAAAUAGAGGUGGCAAUUGUGUAAUAGGGUCAGGUCAAUUCCGGUCGAAGAAAUUUUUGUUCUUUUUGGUUUCUGGUCAUUGCAAAUCAAAUCAGGUAAUUAGGGUUUGACACUUGAAUUAUUAGAUUUGGAUUGUAUGUGUUCUGGUUAUUUUUAAUUUAAGGGUUGACUUUUUAAGUCAAAUGAAAUUGGAUUUAGAUGAAUUGUUUUCAAUUUAAAUGUUGGCCUUUUAAGUCGCAUGGAUUUAGAUUUAAACGAAUUGUUUGAAUUUGAAUGAUUUCGAGUUGGUUAUUUGGGUUGUUUGGGUUCAAGUAGUUUUGAGUUCAGAUCAAUUCAAAUUCAAAUUGUUUUGAAUUCAAGUCCUUUUCAACUUUGGAUCAUGCAAGUUCAGAUUGUUGAUUUUUUUUUUUGGUCAAAAUCAAUUUUAUCGAGUUUGGGUUUGAGUUCAAGAUUAGCUAUGCCAAUUUUAGUCAAAAUUAUUUGUAGUGCAAGGAAAUAUAUAUUUUUUUGGGCAAAUUUAAGGAAAGAAAUUUGAAAUAAAUACAUUGGCUCCUCUUAAGUUUGAUGAAAAUAGUGCAUUAAAUGUAAAAACAUAUUCUAAAGUAAAAUUUUGAAUUAUCUUAUUUUUUUAAUGAAGUCAGUUUUAUUGACCUCUUCAACCAGCAUGCCAUUGUAAGUCUCUAACCAAAGCGGAGAAGACUUGCUAUGGCAUAAAUUUUUCAUGGUUAAUUUGGGCAAAAUAUAACCUGUGCAAUUACAAAAUGAUCCUACCACUCAAAAAACAAUAUCGGCAUGUACCCACAGAUUUAUCAAACCCGCUAUCAUAAUCAAAGCUCAACUAAAUCCAAGUACCUAACAUUUGCCCUUAAUCUCUUCAAGAUAAAUUGUAAUCGAUGCCUAUUUAACAAUUCCACCAGAUCAAAGUUUCCACUGGCCCUUGUAGCGAGGGCUUUUCACCUAACCCCUUUAUAUCUUUUAGUUUAGAAUUUUACAAUUUACAAAUUUAAUUAUUUAUAGAUAUUAUUAAUAUUUACAAUUUACAAGGGUUCUGAUACCCCGAGGAAUAGUUUAGUAAGAACAAUUUAUUUUUUUCCUUAAAAAAAAUUGAAGUAGAAGAAGAAAAAGUUUGGUAACAACGACUUCCUGCCUCUUACCAACCUUGUUGCUGUCUUGAUUUAGGACCAAGAAGUCUUCUUGCUAGUUGUCGUAUAUAUAGGAACAAGCCAUUACCAUUUCCUUCAUAUCCUUUCCACUCUAACUGCAAUAUAUUGAUGAUCGAUUCCUGCUUCUAACUAAUUAUUUCCAUUCUCCACGAUAUGGAUCCAAGGUUGAGGGAGGCUGCUCAAACAGGAGAUUUUAACUACUUCUACUCACUAAUUGAGGAAAACGCAAGCGUUUUGAACGACAUUGAUACAGAGUCUUUUGCUGAGACUCCAUUACAUGUAGCGGCUUCUGCAGGGCAAAUUGCUUUUGCCGUAGAGAUGAUGAAUUUAAAGCCGUCGUUUGCAAGGACGCUGAACCAAGCUGGGUUUAGCCCCAUUCACUUAGCUUUACAAAACAAAAAAACCCUUUUUGUACAUCGACUCCUAGAGAUGGAUAAAGAUCUCGUUCGAGUCAAAGGGAGGGAGGGUAAGACUCCUUUUCAUUACGCUGCUGAACUAGGAGAGCCGGAAGAACUUUUGAACGAUUUUCUUGAAGCUUGCCCCGAAUGCAUUGAAGAUGUAACUGUUCAUGGUGAAACUGCUCUGCACAUCGCGUUAAAAUGUAACAAGCUUAAAGAGUUUAAAUCCUUGGUGCGAUGGAUACGAGGAAGCUGUCAUAAAGAUGCCAAACUGUGGGAAGAACGAAUCCUCAACUGGAAGGACGAGCAAGGCAACACUGUUCUGCACAUUGCAGCCUUGGAAAACCAACCAGAGGUUUGCUUUUCCAUUUAUCAGACUCCCAAUUGACUUGUAAUCAAAUUAAAAAACUAACUAGUUAUUAGUACAUCUUCUAUGAUUUGCACAGGCAGUAAGACUGCUGGUAAAGUGUCGUGACGUAGUUGAUGUGAACGCCAAGAAUUCGGAAAAUUUGACAGCACUGGAAUAUAUCUCAAAAUGCGAUGAAAACGAUGAAAGCACUGAAAACCAAAGGCCAGUGCCAAAUAGAUCAGAGAUUACUAAAAUCUUGCGAGCUGCUACACCUCGAAUGCAUCCCUUCAUGGCAAUCCUCGAUUUCGACGAGGAGUUAAUGUUACCUUAUGUUAAAAGGGUAAUCACACAUAUUGCUCGGAGAAGGGAGAACAUUUCAAAUGGCAUGCGCAACGCAUUGCUGGUAGUCAUUACGCUGGUUAUAACAGCCACUUACCAAUCCUCUUUAAGUCCACCUGGUGGUGUUUGGCAGGGAGAUAACAGUAAUACUUCAUCUAAAUCAAACUAUGCUAGCAUAAAUACCAGUAAUAGUAGCACCCUUGCCGGAGAACCGCAUGGUCCGGGGACAACCGUAAUGCAAAAAAAUACUUUUGUUGUGUUCUGGACUUACAACACAUUAACCCUAUUGACAACCCUUGGGCUAACAGCAUUUCUCCUCCCAGGUGGUUCUAUUGCUUUACUACUGCUCGUGCCACUUUCACUUUUGUGCUCGAGCUACAUGCUCUCCAUGAGCAUCUUAUCCCCGACUCCUUUUUGGUCAAAAGUGAAUACAAUUCUGUCAAUAGUCUUUAUUAUGUUGCUGUUAUUGCCGUAUCCUAGAUUGUUUAACGAGAGACGGCGAGCCCAAAUGAAGAGUGAAUUAUCUCCACGUGCGGUGCUAAAGUCGAAGAAAUUUUAUAUCAAAAUAUUCUUUUUUUUGGUUGCUGCAUUGUGCUUUACUGUAAUCAUGCUGCAAAAUUGGUUACAUUCGUAGAUUAGAAGUAUUUAGGACCCCAACCCUUUCUGAAGUCUAAUCUUAGCGUUGUGUUGUUUCUUAUCUAUUUAAUAAAAGAAGUUGGUAUUGUAAUUCUUGACUCUUCUAAAUACUAUAAAUGCAAGUGUCUUUGGCCUUUUUGAUGUUUGUUGUUUUUUGAUGCGUUCUCUCCUGCCGUCUUUUGGUUAGGGCAGGCUUGCUUUUUCGUUUUAAAUGUUUGCGGCUGUGAUAACUGCCACUUCUUUUUUGUGCAGUUAAACUUUUAUGUAUCAUGAUUUGUUAUCUCGAUUUUCAUGUCAAUGGGAAUCUUAGGUAAUUUCAACUUGAAAUUAAUAUUGGCAUAUGGGAUGUAUGACUAAUAAAAUUCCCUUAAAAAGAAAAGUUGGUUUUGAGAAUUAAAGUUUUCUUCUUGAGUGUAGCAUUUUUUAUUUGCCCAAAGUCUUUACUCGUAAAACCGUGGGGCAGGCUGAAACCCCAAAAGUCCACUGAAAACAUUUUUGGGGUUGAAAAUGGGACCCUUUUCUCCAGCAAACUUUACUAUUAUACCAACCCACCUAGCAAGGCUAUUACUCUAUUUAAUUUAGUGUAUUAAUUGAGUACAAAUUUGUACUCUUUCAUGUAUUGACAAAACCUUAAGUAACGAAAAUUAGAAUAUUAUUUUACUGCUUAUGGUAUCAUAUUGCCAAUCAAUAAAGAAAAUAGAGAUAAAUAUUUCAAAAUUUUCAGCAUAGUUUACUGCAAUGUUUAAUGAUAGCAUUCUAUUUUAAUUAGGUGCAAGGUCAACAUUUUCAUCUAAUUUUCGAUGGGAUAUCACCAAACCAUUACGCCCAACUUCAAUGCCCCUAAACCAUCCACUAGUGGUAUCCUUGUUCAUAAGAACACUUAUGGCCUCCACAACAAUAUUAAACUGCAUCGCUGACAAAGAGCAUCCUAGAAGCUGUGGGUUUGGCAACCACACAAUCUCCUCAAUGGCAAUAUUUACUUCAAAUGCUUUAAUCCAGGACAAGUAUUGCAUUUUAAUCACAAGAAACUAGUUCCAAUUUAUCCCUGUUUUUCCAUAAAAUAUAUUGUAAUUCCAAAAACUACUAACCGUCUCUUUUAGCAACACCAUUGAUCAUAUUGUCUUGACUUGAUAAAAGAUUCAACGGAGUUUGGUAUCUCGCAUUGGAAUCCCCACCACUCAAAAAUACAGCUCCAUAUAAUCCAAGAAUAGUGGCACGAGAUUGAAAUAUGAACACUGCCCUAAUUCAAAGCCACGUGAACAUAAGUCAUUAUCAUUUUCAAAGUAAAUAUCUGUAGCUCUCAAAAAGCUUGUGGCUGGAAUGUAGUUUAGGAGAGCUAACCAUAAAUUUUGGAGAGGAUAACGUUUUUCCAAACACAUAAACCAUACGUUUUUUUGUCUCCAUAGUUGACUGGCUUCCCAAGACAGCUGUGGCUUUCUCUACAGAAAAUGUUGUUAUCGCAUAAAGACAUAAGCUUCAACUUCAGAGGUCAAAAAUACCUCUCAUAUUCAGAUGGAGACAGCAGAUUUUAAGAGUGAUAUCAUUUUCGUAUAACAUAAUUAAUAUAUUUUAAGAGUAGAAAAAACCCUACAAUUUAUGUAUUAACUUAUGUAUUUAUUGUUCUAGGUUGAAAAGUGAGUCUGUUCAUCUAAUUAUUCUCUAUGGACGUUAUUAUGAUAUUUAGUAGGAUGCUGUUCAGGAAUGUCGUCAAAUUUCUUUUUGAGCGAUGACUAAUUUUUUUUCUUUUUGUAAUUGAGCAGUUUUUUUUUUUUUGCCCAUACUAGAUAUUAUAUACUCCAAACAAUCUUUUGCAAAUCAGCUAGAGACUUGCUGAUGGAAUAUUGGUAACGGUAAUAAAAUUAUUUUUACAAAAAUUGUCAACUUACCUUUUCUUGAAAUUAAUAUUGGCAUAUGGGAUGUAUGACUAAUAAAAUUCCCUUAUAAAGAAAAGUCGGUAUUGAGAAUUAAAGUUUUCUUCUUGAGUGUAGCAUUUUUCAUUUGCCCAAAGUCUUUACUCGUAAAACCGUGGGGCAGGCUGAAACCCCAAAAGUCUACUGAAAACACUUUUGGGGUUGAAAACGGGACCCUUUUCUGCAGCAAACUUUACUAUUAUACGAACCCACCUAGCAAGGCUAUUACUCUAUUUAAUUUAGUGAAUUAAAGGAAGUCAACUUCAAUGCCCCUAAACCAUCCACUAGUGGUAUCCUUGUUCAUAAGAACACUUAUGGCCUCCACAACAACAUUAAACUGCAUCGCUGACAAAGAGCAUCCUAGAAGCUGUGGGUUUGACAACCACCCAAUCUCCUCAAUGGCAAUAUUUACUUCAAAUGCUUUAAUCCAGGACAAGUAUUGCAUUUUAAUCACUAAAAACUAGUUCCAAUUUAUCCUGUUUUUCCAUAAAAAAUAUUGUAAUUCCAAAAUGUUAGGAUAGUCUUGAAUUGUGAUUUAAUUAGAAUUGUUUAAUUCUAAUUAAAUUAGUAUACUUUAUUAAAUAGUCUUUAAAUCUGGUUAGACUAGAAUAAUAAUUUCUAAUUAUAUUAAGAUAAGGUUAUUAUAUUUGACACUAUAAAAGGACCCUAUGGGGUUAAAGAAUAAUAAUCACCUAGAUUUAGAGAGAGUGAUUUAGGUGUACGUAGGAUAAGGGUUGUAAGUUUGAGACUGUUCUUGUAAUCUCCUAAUUUUUCUCUUAGUGAAUUUUUUUCUGUUGUUGUGCCCGUGGACGUAGGUCAUCAAAAGACCGAACCACGUAAAUUCUUGUGUUCUUGUCGGUGUGCUUGAUUUCUUUCUUUUUUUUUUUCUAUUGAUUGGGUUAGAUCUUGGGCAAUUCUUUAGAGAAAAUUCUAUAAUUUUCCAACAAAAUGGUAUCAGAGCUUCAAGGUCUUAAGUCAAUUUGAAUCUCGCUAUGACAACUUCGUCGACCAAGUAUGAGAUUGAAAAGUUUAAUGGAAGAAACGAUUUCAGCUUGUGGCAUGUUAAAAUGCGUGCAUUACUAGUGCAACAAGGACUGUUGAAGGCACUGAAGGGAAAAGAGCAUCUUCCCUCGAAUUUAUCUGAUGGUGAGAAAGAUAACCUUAUGGAAAAAGCACAUAUUGUUAUUCUCUUAGUUUUAUCUGAUAAGGUGCUAAGAGAAGUCACGGAUGAAGAAUCUGCUGCUGCAGUGUGGCUUAAACUCGAAAGUAUUUAUAUGACCAAAUUCCUGACGAAUCGGCUUUAUAUGAAGCAACGAUUAUAUACUCUCAAGAUGAGUGAAGGUAUGUCCGUUAAUAUCACAUUUAUGAAUUGGAUAGAGUUAUUCUUGAUUUAAAUAAUAUCAAUGUUAAAAUUGAGAAUGAAGACCUAGCCUAAUUCUUUUAUGUUCUUUGCCUCUAUCGUAUGAAAACUUCGUGGAUACUAUGUUAUAUGAUCGAGACACUCUCACUUUCGAUGAUGUAAGAGCAUCUUUAAAUUCCAAAGAAUUGAAGAAGAAAGUUGGUGGUAUCCAGAAUGAAAAUCAAGCAGAAGGUUUGGUUGUGAAUAGAGGAAAAAAUAGAGAGAAGGGUAUAGACAGAAAAGGUAAAUCUAAAGCAAAAGGGAAAACUUGCUAGAAUUGUGGUCAGAAAGGACACUUUCAUCAAGACUAUACCAAAUUCAAGGAUGAUGAAAAGAUCAACAAAUCUGUGAAUACUGCAAAUGUGGUUGGAGAUGACUUUGAUACUUUUGAAGAAAUUGAUAAUAUUCUUGCAAUUACCAACGAUAACUUGAUGGAUAUAUGGAUCUUGGAUUUGGCUUGUUGCUUUCAUAUAUGUCCUAGGCGUGAUUCGUUUACAACUUAUCAAUCUGUUGAUAUGGGCACUGUAUAAUUAGGAGAUGAUUUCUCUCUCUCAAUUGUUGGGAUUGGCACAAUUCGAAUCAAGAUGUUUGAUGGUAUGGUAAGAACACUUGAGGUAAAACAUGUCCCUGACAUGAAAAAAAAUUUGAUAUCCUUGAGUUUGUUAGAUAAGAAGGGCUACAAAUAUAGUGGCCAAGAUGGUGUCUUGAAUGUAUCUAAAGGAACCUUAACUAUCAUGAAGGGCAAGUUAUCCGGUGACCUUUAUUGUCUAAUGAGAAACACGUUCAUUGAAACUGUUUCUGUGGUCUCAUCUAAUGAUCCUGAAGAUGAUGUAACACACUUAUGGCAUAUGAGAUUGGGUCAUAUGAGCAAGAGAGGGAUUAAAAAACUGAGUAAGCGUAGUUUGCUGUGUGGUCAAAAGAUUGAAAAGCUAGAUUUCUAUGAGCAACAUAUAGUGAAAUUUAGCACUAUAACUCAUCAAACCAAGAGUACAGUGAACUACAUCCAUUCAUAUUUGUGGGGUCCUUCUUCAGUGGCAUCAAAAGGUGGAUCAUUAUACAUGUGGACCUUUAUUGAUUAUUUUUCAGGAAAAGUGUGGACGUAUCUUCUGAAGGCUAUGAGUGAAGUGUUAACCACCUUUUUGCAUUGUAAGGUAUUGAUCGAGAAGCAAACUAAGAAAAGGAUCGAAAGCUUUCGAACAAACAAAAGUUUAGAAUUUUGCAAAGGUGAGUUUGGUCUAUUCUACAAGAAUGAAAAAAAUCGUUAGACAUUGCACUGUCAUUAAAACACCACAUCAAAACGGUAUCGUAGAAUGGAUGAAGAAAACACUUUUGGAGAGAGCAAAAUACGUGUUCUCUAAUAUUGGCCUAACCAAAUUAUUAACCUUUCCCAGUUUAUAAUUCAAAAAGCUUUGCUUCCAACAAUCUCUUAACCUUGAAGCACCAACCACUAAGAAGGAACUCAAAGCCACUGUCUGGAGUUGUGAUGGUUUUAAAGCCCUAUGACCUAAUGGUUUUAACUUCAACUUCAUUAAGAGUAGUUGGACUUUUAUCAAGAAAGAUCUUUUCGACUUUAUCUCUGACUUCAUGUUCACUGGUAAAUUGGAAAAAGGUUUUAACUCCUCUUUUAUCGCAUUGAUUCCCAAAGUCUAGAGUCCUUCGUCACUCAGUGAAUAUCGGCCCACCAGUCUUGUUAAUUCUCUCUACAAAAUUCUCACCAAGCUUCUCGCCAAUAGGCUUAAGGCAGUUAUAUCCUCGGUAGUCAGUGAUAGUCAAAGUGCCUUUAUUAGCAGCUAUCAAAUCACUGACGGGAUCAUGCUAGCCAAUGAAGUUAUCCAUAGUAUGCGCAAAAAUCUUCACAAUGAGGGUGUAUUGUUCUUAAACUCGACUUUGAGAAGGCUUUUGACCAUGUGGAUUGGGGGUACAUUUCUCUUGUCAUACAGGCUACAGGCUUUGGUCAUCAAUGGUGUAGCUGGUUUUAUGAGUGCAUUUCAAUGGUCUGAGUUUCCAUUCUUGUCAAUGGUUCAGCCACGCCCGAAUUUCCCAUGAAGCACGGCCUUCGACAAGGGGAUCCACUCUCUCCUUUUUUGUUUAUCAUGGUAAUGGAAACUCUUCAUCUUUUUCUAGUAAAGGCUGAAGCGUUGAACUUUAUCGGAGGCAUCACCCUCACUUCUUUCAAAAUUUUUAUCUCUCACCUAUAGUUCGCGGACGAUACCAUUCUGUUCUUGCGUCCUAAUAUUCAGGACGCAAUCAACAUUAGACGCAUUCUGCAGUGCUUUGAGCUAGCCUCUGGUCUCCGUAUUAACUUUCACAAAUCUUGUGUUUAUCUAGUGGGAAUAACGUCUUUUGUGGGUGAAGAAUUCUCUACUGUUCUCCAGUGUCGGACAGGCUCUCUGCCCUUCACGUAUCUUGGUAUUCCCCUUGGUGCUAACCCAAGAAGCAUCUCCACAUGGGAUCCUGUUGUUUCUAACUUUAAAAGGCAACUUGCAUUUUGGCAAAGAAAGUAUCUCUUUCUUGCUAGCAGGAUCACACUAAUCAACUCAGUCUUAAAUUCACUACCUCUUUAUUAUAUCUCUGUCUUUCACCCAUCUAAAGGUGUCAUACACAAGCUCAAGCAACUACGAUGCUCCUUCUUAUGGGGUGGAUCUACGGCUAAGCGCAAGAUGUCCAAAGUCAAUUGGUCCACUAUUUGUAAGCCCAAAAGAUUUGGUGGGUUAGGAAUCUCUAGCCUUUCUCAUAAGAAUCUCGCCUUUCUAGCCAAAUGGUGGUGGCGUUAUGGAACUGAUAAGGAAGCUUUAUGAAGACGUUUGAUUGUUGGUAAAUACGGGAUUGGUGACAGUCAUUGGACUACUUUUGUUUCUAACAUGUCGAGAAUGUCAUCGAUUUGGAAAAGCAUCAUCAAGCUCCCAUCCAAUGAAGGGGUUCAUAACCUGAUUGGUUUUCAUGCUUGGCACUGGAUCGUAGGGGAUGGUACCACUAUCCUCCUAUGGCUUGAUAAAUGGCUUAAGGACCUGCCCCUUUCAUCCAAGUAUCCUCGCCUUUUCUCGUUGGCUACAGAUAAGGACAUUCGAGUCGCUAAUGCCAAGUCUAAUGGGUCCUGGUCUCUUAUUUUCAGACAGGCAUUUUUUUCUUGGGCAAAGUCAAACUAUGAGGAACUUUUGCGUAAACUCUAUUCUAUUUUUCUUGUGCUGGGCAGGAAGGAGAAACUUGUAUGGAAGCAUGACUCUCAAGGGAACUUCUCCGUGAAAACUUUCUGUUCUAGGCUAAAUACCUCUAAUGAUGAUCAUAUGGUAUGGUUUCAAUCUUUAUGGAAUCUAUCUAUCCCUCCUAAACUUUAGUGCUUCCUAUGGCUUGCAGUCCUUAACGCAAUUCCUACAAAGACUUUUCUCUUCUCUCGUGGUGUUCAUUUUAAUUUUGAUCAGCUGUAGUGCAUUUGGUGCAGUCUUGAUAAAAGGACUUGCUUGCACAUCUUUCUCACAUGCAACUUCAGUUGGCUUAUCUGGGGUUUUGUUUUUCGAUGGUGGGGUGUUGAUUGGUGUGUCCCUUCCACCAUUCCCAAUUUUAUUCAAGCUUGGUCCCUUUGUUCAUUCGGUGGUGAUGUUUCUAAAAGAUGGAUGAUCGUUUGUGGCGCUACUUUAUGGUCAUUAUGGCUUGCACGUAAUGAAUCCGUCUUCAAUUCCAAGAUUUAGGAUGGUCUCCAAAUCAUUUUUCUCAUUAAGUUGCACUCUAUGUUUUGGAUUAAAGCAUGUGAAGGCAAUGAUGCCAUUGAUGAAAUUGGUUGGUGGUCUGAUCCACAAAAUUGCUCGUGUCAGAGAACCCCCUUCCACCUUCGACUUGGCAUUUCAUGGUCACCACCUCCCAUUAGCAUGUUCAAAUUUCAUGUUGACGGCUCAACCAGAGGUCAGUUAGGACCUGCUGGUUAUGGUGGGGUUUUGCACAACUCGGACGAUUUUGUACUAGGAUUGUUCUUUACUCCACUCGAUUUACGUGACUCCAAUUAUGCGGAAUUGAUGGGUAUCUUGCAUGCUUUUCACCUCGUUUCUGUCUCCACUUACUCCUAUUCCCAUUUAAUUGUUGAAUUGUAUUCAAGGGUUGCUUUAUCCUGGAUUAAUUGUGUCGAACGAAGACCUUGGGAUAAAUGCACAUCUUCAACGAAAUCGACUCACUACUGCUUUCCGUCGGUAAUGUGUCCUUCACUCAUGUCUUUAGAGAAGGCACUUCAUUCGUUGACUCCUUAGCCAGGUAUGGUACUAAUGUUUCUACUCCCUUCUCUGCUUAGUGGUGAACCCGUAAGUUGCUGUAUGACUCUUAUGCUGCAGUCUUUCUUUAUGCUCCAUUGUUAGUCUUAUUUUUAUGUUGCUUUGAGCUCCCUCUUUAUGUUGAUGUUCUCCUCUUUUUGAUGCUUCUUGUUAGUCUUUUUGUCACAACAACUUGCCAACUGUUGCUUGUAGAUGCUUGUACUUAUUGACCUUUUGGCUUGCAUUCACUGUAGUCUAAGUGAUCUUAAUGAAUAUUUAUUUUGGCUGAGCAAAAAAAAAAAUUUAAGUGUUAACCUUUUAAGUCAAAUCGAUUUGGAUUUAAAUGAAUUGUUUGAAUUCGAAUAAUUUUGAGUUGGUUAUUCGGGUUGUUUGGGUUCAAGUAGUUUUGAGUUCAGAUCAAUUUAAAUUCAAAUUAUUUUGAAUUCAAGUCCUUUUCAACUUUGCAUCUUGCAAGUUCAGAUUGUUGAUUUUAUUUUUGUCAAAAUUAAUUUUAUCGGGUUUGAGUUUGAGGUCAAGAUUAGCUAUGCCAAUUUUAGUUAAAAUUGUUUGUAGUGCAAGGAAAUAUGUAUUUUUUGGGAAAAUUUAAGGAAAGAAAUUUGAAAUAAAUACAUUGUCUCCUCUAAAGUUUAAUGCAAAUAGUGCAUUAAAUGUAAAAACACAUUCUAAAGUAAUAUUUUUAACUAUCUUAUUUUUUUUAAUGAAGAUAGUUUUAUUGGCCUCUCCAACCAGCAUGCCAUUGUAAGUCUCUAACCAAAGCGGAGAAGACUUGCUAUGGCAUAACUAUUUCAUGGUUAAUUUGGGCAAAAUAUAGCCUGUGCAGUUACAAAAUGAUCCUACGACUCAAAAAACGACAUGGGCAUAUACCCACAGAUUUAUAAAAACCGCUAUCAAUAAUCAAAGCUCAACUAAUCCAAGUACCUAACAUUUGCCUUCUAUCUUUUCAACAUAAAUUUUAAUCGAUGCCUAUUUAACAAUUCCACUGGCCCUUGUAGCGAGGGCUUUUCACCUACCCCCUUUAUAUCUUUUAGUUUACAAUUUUACAAUUUACAAAUUUAAUUAUUUAGAGAUAUUAUUAAUUUUUACAACGUAAAAGGGUUCUCAUACCCCGAGGAAUAGUUUAGUAAGAGCAAUUUUGUUUUUCCUAAAAAAAAUUGUAGGAGAAGAAGAAGUUUGGUAACAACGACUUCCUGCCUCUUACCAACCUUGUUGCUGCCGUGAUUAGGACCAAGAAGUCUUGUUGUAUACAUAGGAACAAGCCAUUACCAUUUCCUUCAUAUCCUUUCCACUCUAACUGCAAUAUAUUGGUGAUCAAUUCCUGAAUCUAACUAAUUAUUUCCAUUCUCCACGAUAUGGAUCCGAGGUUGAGGGAGGCUGCUCAAACAGGAGAUUUUAACUACUUCUACUCACUAAUCGAGGAAAACGCAAGCGUUUUGGAGGACAUUGAUACAGAGUCUUUUGCUGAGACUCCAUUACAUGUAGCGGCUUCUGCAGGGCAAAUUGCUUUCGCCGUAGAGAUGAUGAAUUUAAAGCCGUCGUUUGCGAGGACGCUGAACCAAGCUGGGCUUAGCCCCAUGCACGUAGCUUUACAAAACGAAAAAACCCUUUUUGUACAUCGACUCCUAGAGAUGGAUAAAGAUCUCGUUCGCGUCAAAGGCAGGGAGGGUAAGACUCCUUUUCAUUACGCUGCUGAACUAGGAGAGGAAAAACUUUUGAACGAGUUUCUUGAAGCUUGCCCUGAAUGCAUUCAAGAUGUAACUGUUCAUCGUGAAACUGCUCUGCACAUCUCAUUAAAACAUAACAAGCUUAACGAGUUUAAAUCCUUGGUGCGAUGGAUUCGAGAGAGCUGUCAUAAGGAUGCCAAAGUCUGGGAAGAACGAAUCCUCAACUGGAAGGACGAACAAGGCAACACUGUUCUGCACAUUGCAGCCAUGGAAAACCAACCAGAGGUUUGCUUUUACAUUUAUCAGACUCCCAAUUGACUCGUAAUCAAAAAAAAAAACUAACUAGUUAUUAGUACAUCUUCUAUGAUUUGCACAGGCCGUAGGACUGCUGGUAAAGUAUCGUGACGUGGUUGAUGUGAACGCCAAGAAUUCGGAAGAUUUGACAGCACUGGAAUAUAUCUCAAAAUGCGAUGAAAACGAUGAAAGCACUGAAAACCAAGAGCCAGUGCAAGAUAGAUCAGAGAUUACUACAAUGUUGCAAGCUGCUACACGUCGAAUGCAUCCCUUCAUGGCAAUGCUCUAUUUCGACAAGGAGUUAAUGUUUUCUUAUCUUAAAAGGAUAAUCACACAUAUUUCUCGGAGAAGGAAGAACAUUUCAAAUGACAUGCGCAACGCAUUGCUGGUAGUCAUUACGCUGAUUAUAACAGCCACUUACCAAUCCUCUUUAAGUCCACCUGGUGGUGUUUGGCAGGGAGAUAACAGCAAUAGUUCAUCUAAAUCAAACGAUGCUAGCAUAAAUACCAGUAAUAGUAGCACCCUUGGCGGAAAGCUGCACGAUCCGGGGACAACCGUUAUGCCAAAAAGUACUUUUUCUGUGUUCUGGACUUACAACACAUUAACCCUAUUGACAACCCUUGGGCUAACAGCAUUUCUCCUCCCAGGUGGUUCUAUUGCUAUACUACUGCUCGUGCCACUUUCACUUUUGUGCUCGAGCUACAUGCUCUCCAUGAGCAUCUUAUCCCCGACUCCGUUUUGGUCAAAAGUGAAUACAAUUCUGUCAAUAGUCUUUAUUAUGUUGCUGUUAUUACCGUAUCCUAGAUUGUUCAACGAGAGACUGCGAGCCCAAAUGAAGAGUGAAUUAUCUCCACGUGCGGUGCUAAAGUCGAAGAAAUUUUAUAUCAAAAUAUUCUUUUGUUUGGUUGCUGCAAUGUGCUUUACUGUAAUCAUGCUGCAAAAUUGGUUACAUUAGAAGUAUUUAGGACCCCAACCCUUUCUGAAGUCUAAUCUUAGCGUUGUGUUGUUUCUUAUCUAUUUAAUAAAAGAAGUUGGUAUUGUAAUUCUUGACUCUUCUAAGUACUAUAAAUGCAAGUGUCUCUGCCUUUCUGAUGUUUGUUGUUUUUUGAUGCGUUUUCUCCUGCCGUUUUUUGGUUAGGGCAGGCUUCCUCUUCCGUUUUAAAUGUUUGCUGCUGUGAUAACUGCCACUUCUUUUUUGUGCAGUUAAACCUUUUAUGUAUCAUGAUUUGUUAUCUCGAUUUUCAUGUCAAUGGGAAUCUUAGGUAAUUUCAACUUGAAAUUAAUAUUGGCAUAUGGGAUGUAUGACUAAUAAAAUUCCCUUAAAAAGAAAAGUUGGUUUUGAGAAUUAAAGUUUUCUUCUUGAGUGUAGCAUUUUUUAUUUGCCCAAAGUCUUUACUCGUAAAACCGUGGGGCAGGCUGAAACCCCAAAAGUCCACUGAAAACAUUUUUGGGGUUGAAAAUGGGACCCUUUUCUCCAGCAAACUUUACUAUUAUACCAACCCACCUAGCAAGGCUAUUACUCUAUUUAAUUUAGUGUAUUAAUUGAGUACAAAUUUGUACUCUUUCAUGUAUUGACAAAACCUUAAGUAACGAAAAUUAGAAUAUUAUUUUACUGCUUAUGGUAUCAUAUUGCCAAUCAAUAAAGAAAAUAGAGAUAAAUAUUUCAAAAUUUUCAGCAUAGUUUACUGCAAUGUUUAAUGAUAGCAUUCUAUUUUAAUUAGGUGCAAGGUCAACAUUUUCAUCUAAUUUUCGAUGGGAUAUCACCAAACCAUUACGCCCAACUUCAAUGCCCCUAAACCAUCCACUAGUGGUAUCCUUGUUCAUAAGAACACUUAUGGCCUCCACCACAAUAUUAAACUGCAUCGCUGACAAAGAGCAUCCUAGAAGCUGUGGGUUUGGCAACCACACAAUCUCCUCAAUGGCAAUAUUUACUUCAAAUGCUUUAAUCCAGGACAAGUAUUGCAUUUUAAUCACAAGAAACUAGUUCCAAUUUAUCCCUGUUUUUCCAUAAAAUAUAUUGUAAUUCCAAAAACUACUAACCGUCUCUUUUAGCAGCACCAUUGAUCAUAUUGUCUUGACUUGAUAAAAGAUUCAACGGAGUUUGGUAUCUCGCAUUGGAAUCCCCACCACUCAAAAAUACAGCUCCAUAUAAUCCAAGAAUAGUGGCACGAGAUUGAAAUAUGAACACGGCCCUAAUUCAAAGCCACAUGAACAUAAGUCAUUAUCAUUUUCAAAGUAAAUAUCUGUAGCUCUCAAAAAGCUUGUGGCUGGAAUGUAGUUUAGGAGAGCUAACCAUAAAUUUUGGAGAGGAUAACGUUUUUCCAAACACAUAAACCAUACGUUUUUUUGUCUCCAUAGUUGACUGGCUUCCCAAGACAGCUGUGGCUUUCUCUACAGAAAAUGUUGUUAUCGCAUAAAGACAUAAGCUUCAACUUCAGAGGUCGAAAAAACCUCUCAUAUUCAGAUGGAUACAGCAGAAUUUAAGAGUGAUAUCAUUUUCGUAUAACAUAAUUAAUAUAUUAUAAGAGUAGAAAAACCCUAUAAUUUAUGUAUUAACUUAUGUAUUUAUUGUUCUAGGUUGAAAAGUGAGUAUGUUCAUCUAAUUAUUCUCUAUGGACGUUGUUAUGAUAUUUAGUAGGAUGCUGUUCAGGAAUAUCGUCAAAUUUCUUUUUGAGCGAUGACUAAUUUUUUUUCUUUUUGUAAAUGAGCAGGUUUUUUUUUUUUUUUUGCCCAGACUAGAUAUUAUAUACUCCAAACAAUCUUUUGCAAAUCAGCUAGAGACUUGCUGAUGGAAUAUUGGUAACGGUAAUAAAAUUAUUUUUACAAUAAUUGUCAACUCAACCAAACAUAAAUAGGAAUACAGAAAAAGUAACUUGGUGGUGCAUGUAGGGAUUUAACAGUUAUGACUUGCAAAAAAAAAAAAAGAAUAACUUUGAUUAACUUCGAUCAGAGUGGAUUAGAUCUGACAAUUCGUGUUUUUGUAUUUUAAUUAUGUUGUGUUAAUAUAGGGUAUUAAUGAUUGUAUCAGUAAAUACAAACACGAUAUGAAUAAUUAUUCAUAUCAGCAUCUGAAACACAUACAUGAUACGUUUAAAAACCAGGUAACGCAACACAACACGACUAACAUAUUUGUUAAAUAUGUUAAGAUUUUUAUACGACAUAAUAUGAUUAAUAAACACGAUUAAACGAUUAACAUAUAUAAAAUUCAUCAUACUCAGGGGCAGACCUACCUUGUAACUAACAAUGUCAUCAUUCCAAAAAUUACUACUUAGUUAUAUUAGUUAAGCUAGAAUUUUAUAUAAUUAAUGAUACUAAUGAACCUACUAAUUUUUUUGCAUUUUAAUAAGAGAAGGUCAAAAACUCCAAGUCAAAGUAAAUUUAUCAAAAAGUAAUUUAUAUACUAAUAUUUAAAUACUAAAAGAUAAAAAUAAUUUCUUUCCAUAAUUUAAGAUUUUAUUAAAAAAAUUAAAACCUAAACUACUAUCCCUCGUCCUCUCCCUCUCCAAAAAUUCAAAUCCUAGUUUUGAGACCUGUAGUGAUGCUUCCUCUUCUCGAUCCUUAACUGCGUUUUUCAUUUUUUGAAAAUAACUCAUCUAGACUUCAAUUGUAAGUAAUUUUUAAUUCAAAUUAAGUUUUUAAAUGCUUCAUGUCUAAAUAUUUUUUGAUUAAUUUGAUAAUUUGGGACUCAAACAGAAUUUAAUUAAUAGAAAAUAGUAUUGUAUGUCAAAUAAUAUCUUGAAAUUAUGAUUCUUUGUUUUUUUAUUUAUUUUGUAGAUAUAUUGUUUGAUUAUUUGAUUUUUUGUAUUUAAUUUUAUAUGGUUUAUUGAUGCUUAUACUUAGUUUUGAUCAAUGAAUAAAAAUUUGUCAAAUUGUUAAUUGUUGAACCUGAUAAUUUGCUAUACAAGAUCAUAUUUUAUUUAAUUCUAAUGUUUUAGUUUAUGUUAAUGAGAAAUGAGUAGUAACUUUUAACAGGUUUUUGGAUAAAUAAGUCAUAAAAAGAUAAUUUAAAAUACAAAAAAUUAUCUCACAAGACUAAGGUCAUGGGCAACAAUAAUAUAAUUCUAUUAAUGAUGAUACUCAACAAUCUUCUAAGCAAAAUCGUGUUGAAUUUAAUCUAAGUAUUGUCCUGGUAGAUCUUGGAAUGAGGAAACAAAAUUUUAAUUAUUAUUAUUAUUUUAGCUAAGACACUACUUAGCAAAAUUUCUAUGUCCACCCUUGAUCAUACUAAUAACAUCUAAAAUCAUUCAUAAUUUUCAACCAUAAUUAAAUACAUAUCAUUAACUACAUCACAAAUCAUGAACAAUUCCAAACACCCAAACCAAAAUCGAAAACUCACUCGCCAAUGUCGCAUCAUUCCGGUGUCAAAACCUUUUAAAAUAAUUGUUAAAAAUUAUUUAAAUAAGGCUAAAAUAGUAUUUGACUACUAAUUUUAAUGGGUUGACAUACGUGUCACUUAUACUCGUUUAAACAUAAUAACAUGAUUAACAUGAUUAAUUAAACGUGUUAACCGUAUCAACACAAUUAAGACAUAAAACAUUAUAAGGCUAAAUCCAAACUUGUUUAACGCCAUGUCUUCUAGUGUUGUGCCCAAAAUUGCAAAAUCUAGCAUGGAUCCAAGGUUGAGGGAGGUAGCUCAAACCGGAAAUAUAUAUGUUAAUUUCUUAAGAUUAAAAAUUUUAAUAAUAACUAUGUUAUAAAGAAAUAAUAACAAAAUAUUAAUAGUUUGGAUAUUGACCUCUUACAAAGAAAUUAAAAUCAUAAUUUUUUUAAAAAAAUAACAGCAUUUAAGUACCUAAAUUUUAACUAACAUUAUAUUAUCAAAUUUUUAAUUGGAAAAAUGAGAGAUUUGAAUUUAACUCUUUACAUAAGGGAUACAUACACUUUCCAUUAAAUGUUCAUAUGUUAUAUCAAUUUCUAAUUAUAAAAAAAUUAUGUUUUUUUAAUUUUCUUGAAAAUUAAAUAAAAAUAAAGAAAAUAAGAUGAAAAGAGUAUUAGUUUAAUUGGAUUAAAUCUAUGCAAUUAACAAUAAUCAUGAAAAUCAUGUGUUAUUAUAUUUCACAGUAUAUACUUUAUUUGAAAUCCAAAUCCUCUCGUUUAAGUAUUUAACUUUCCAAAUAUAACCUUAGAGAACAUUGUUAGAAAUUUGCAAGCUAGCAAAAUAAAUAUAUUUGUAAUUUAUUAAAUGAAAACAUAAUACUACUAAAAUAUAAUCAAAAUAACAUAAGCUUAAAAACCUAUCCAUGAUGUCAUGUCUAUCAUCAUCAUCGGUGGUCAUUCUAUUGCUUCAUUAACUCCAUUGAUUCUGCCAACGGUACGUAAGUUAGUCAAUGUGGAAUUUUCUUUUUUCAAAUUUUCACUCACAUCUUUUCUUCUAUUCUUUUAACUUCUUUGUUAAUGUUAUUAAUUUCAUGAUAAUGAUUGUCUCUUUUCCUAAUGUUAAAUGGAGCAAACUUAUAUAAUUUAGUUAUAUAAGUGUAAGACAAAGUUAGAUAUUGACUUCAUUAUAUCCAUAAUGUUAUUGCCAUUAUUUCUCUUUACACACCAAGUGGUGGGAGCGAAAUAAAUCUAAAAAAUAAUGUUUAUUAAAACGUUCAUUUUUAAAUCAAUUUUAUCGAUUCUUUGAAUUUCAUCUAAAUUCCAUUUUCACACCAACAGUUUGGUAUCUCCCAUUAGAAUCCCCACCACUCAAAAAUGUGUUCCGUAUAAUCUAAGAAUAGUGACAUAAGAUUAAAAUAGGAACACAGUCCUCAUUCAAAUCACACCAUGAACAUAAGUCAUUAUCAUUUUCAAAGUAAAUAUCUGUAGCUCUCAAGAAGCUUGUGGCUGCAAUGCAAUUUAGGAGAGCUAACCAUUAAAGAAAUUGAAUUUUUGAGAGGAUAACACAUUUCCAAAUAGAUAAAUCAUACUUUUUUGUCUUCAUAGUUGACUGACUUCCCAACCACUCAUGAAUUUAAUGUUGAUGUUGAAGAAAGUGCUAAGCAGAUCUAGAAGCUCCAUGAAGAAAUUCGAGAGAAGAUUAUUCCUUAAACUGUUGGAUACCAAAAGCAAGUCAACAAACACAAAAAGUUAGCUAAUUUUAAAGAAGGAGAUUUUGUGUGAAUUCACUUAAGGAAAGAAUGUUUUCCUAAGUGUCGUGCCAAAUUAUCUCCUCAAGUUGAUGGACCAUUUUAAGUCUUAGAACAUAUUAAUAAGAAUGCUUACAAGAUUUGAGCUUCUUGGAGAUUAUAAAAUUUCUUCUACCUUCGAUAUAGUUGAUAUCUCUCCUUACUAUGAAAGACAUGAAGAAGACAUAGAUUUUGAAAGCGAUUCUUCUCCAAUUUAGGGAGAAUGAUAAAAGAGUAUGUUAUUAUUAUAUUAUUAUCCAGGUCCAACAUAAGAAUUAUAGGAUAAAUUAAGAGUUUUAGUUUAUUUAAGAAUUAUAGGAUAAAAUAAUAAUCCCACAUAAGAAAAUAAGAAAAUUCUCUUUCUUAGGAAUAGUUAUAUAAAGCCUUAAUUGUUACGCAUAUUCAAGUUGAGAUUAGAUAAAAAAAAUAUUUUCUUGAAUAAGUAGUGAUUAUUUUCUCUAUAUAGAUUAAGAGGUUCUAAUAUCUUUAGUUUGGCUUAAGAGUUUAGCUAUUUUUUACUUUAAUGGGGUUUUUAAAAGUGAAAAUUUGUCUAUUUUUUUACCUUAAUGGGGUUUUCAAUGUUCAUUGUUGUUCACUUAAUGAAUGACAACUAAUUUGAUGUCAACUGUUGCAUUGCAGGGUCAAAGCUAGUCAAUUUUUAUUAAGGGGACCCAAAACGAAAAGAAAUAAAAAGCUCAAAAUUUUUAAAACUAAUAUGUUAAACUUUAGCAACAAUCAAAAUAUUCAUAAUAGACAAUAAUUUUAUAUAACAUGUAAAUCUAAAGAAUUAAAAAAAAGACUUAUCAUAGUCCUCUAGCUAAGUUUUGUUUGACGAUGGCAAUUUCUUUCUCAAUAUAAACAACUAAAUUAUCUACAAAAAACUCAUCAUCCAUUUUAUUCCGGAGUCUUGUCUUUCUCAAUAUAAAUAAUUAAAAAAUUAAUGCAGUGAACAUCCAAUAUUCUUAUUUUAUUACUAUUUAAACUUAAAUUACUAAAUAUGAAACUAUAUUGUAUUAAAUAUAAAUAGUUAAAUAUGAUAUACAAGAUUAAUAAUUUCCUCUUAUAUAAUCAGGAUUGUUUAAAAACUAAAUACUUAAGAUAAUUUCCUUUCAACUAAAAAUAAAAUGUAAAGCACAUUAAAAAGAUAUAUUAUCAAGAUAAUUUCUUCUUUUAUAAUUAAAAUUAAUAAAAAAAUUACAUAUUAGUGAAAUUUUAAGCAACAACCAAUAAUGCAAUGCUAGAACUUAUAUAUGAGAAUCACAUAAUAAUUUUUUAAUUUUUAAAGACUAAAAUCAUUGAAAAUAAUAUCUACAUAACAGAAAAAAAGAAUGUUGAGUUUUAGGUUGACUAGAAUUCUAGAUCUUAUUUGAUUAGGAUUUUUUGUUUGUAUACAAUAUUAAGUAGUUGUAUGAUUUUAAACUUUUUAUUCCACAUCGAAUCCUAAUCACAUUCUACUUUGGACUUUUAUACUAUAAAAGUGAAUUUCUAGGCUUUAGAAUUAAAAGUAGUGCUUUGAGAGCUCUAGAGAGGGAACAUCUUGUAACUCUAUCUUUUACUCUAGGUAGAGCUAGAGUGGUUUGAGUGAAUGUUCUUGGGAGGUUAUUGAGGAAGAGUGUGCAAGGGAUCUUGGGUUGUUUUGGGAAACCAUAAAGGUCAAUUUAUUGUACUUUAAAUUCUCAAUAAUAGAAGAACAGUUUUACUCCGUGGACGUAGACAAUAGGCCGAACCACGUAAAUUCUUGUGUUUUUCUGUUUGCUUAUUUUCUCUGGAUUUUAUCUUUAUUGAUUCUUGGGCAAUUUCCACAACAAACUGGUAUCAAAGCUUCGGGUUCGGUAAAUUCAAGAUUCAACAAGGAUGUCGAAAGUUACUAGUUCUACGAAUUUUUCAAUUGAGAAGUUUGAUGGGAAGACUAGUUUCACGCAGUGGCAGAGAAGGAUGAAAGAUCUCCUUGUGCAGCAAGGUUUAAUGCGCCCCUUAUUAGGAAAGGAGGAAGGGCAACCAAAUAACAUGAAGGAUGUUGAAUGGGUAGAGUUAGAGCAAAGGUGUGUGAGCACUAUUCGGCUUUGCAUUGGAGAUAAUGUGUUUAAUCAUGUUAUUGAUGAGGAUUCUGCUCUAAGAUUAUGGGCAAAGUUAGAGAAAAUUUACUUGGCGAAAAGUCUUUCUAACAAGUUGCAGCUUAGGCGAAAGUUGUAUUACUUAAAGAUGGAGGAGAAUGGAGACCUCAUGAAGCAUAUGAAUGAAUUCGAUGGAAUCAUUGNNNNNNNNNNNNNNNNNNNNNNNNNNNNNNNNNNNNNNNNNNNNNNNNNNNNNNNNNNNNNNNNNNNNNNNNNNNNNNNNNNNNNNNNNNNNNNNNNNNNNNNNNNNNNNNNNNNNNNNNNNNNNNNNNNNNNNNNNNNNNNNNNNNNNNNNNNNNNNNNNNNNNNNNNNNNNNNNNNNNNNNNNNNNNNNNNNNNNNNNNNNNNNNNNNNNNNNNNNNNNNNNNNNNNNNNNNNNNNNNNNNNNNNNNNNNNNNNNNNNNNNNNNNNNNNNNNNNNNNNNNNNNNNNNNNNNNNNNNNNNNNNNNNNNNNNNNNNNNNNNNNNNNNNNNNNNNNNNNNNNNNNNNNNNNNNNNNNNNNNNNNNNNNNNNNNNNNNNNNNNNNNNNNNNNNNNNNNNNNNNNNNNNNNNNNNNNNNNNNNNNAGAUUGUUUUGAUUUACUUUAAGAAGGGGUGGCUAGGAAUUUGACUUUGGGUAAUAAGUUAAUAGUGAAGGUCAUGGGUCUUGAAGUGGUGAAAAUCAAAAUGUUUGAUAGGGUUGUGCGCUCUUUGGGUGGGAUGGCUUAUGUACCAGAGAUGCAUAAGAAUCUAAUAUCACUAAGCCUAUUAUACUCCAAAGGAUAUGGAUAUUCUGCUUAUGACAGAGUGGUAAAUGUCACACAAGGUGACAUGGUCUUGAUAAGGAAGAAUUUGUAUAAUGGCUUAUAUCAUCUAAAAUGUGAGGCCUCGAAGGGAUAGGAACAGUGCACAGGGGAUAGUAGCUACCAAAGUGAGAUUUCAUUUGCCGAGGAGGUGAUGAAAGGUUCCCAUGGUGUAGACGAUGGUGAAAGGAUGAAAACUCUUGCCAGUAGUGAAUUGGAAGGGUCGUCGAGGUCCCUUUUCCGAAGUCAAUUAGUGCCAUUGACUUGACAGCUACACAGGUGCAUUGGCCGUUUUGUGGAAUCGAGUGUUGGACCAUGUUUGAUUCGGUAUGUGUAGUCGUGGUAAUUAUAAAGGCCAAUGAUUUAGAAAGUCUUAUGUUUGGAGAGUUGUUCAAGGUGUUGGAAAGUAGGUGGAGUUAGGAAGUUGCAAUUAAGUGCGACUGGUGGAAGAGGUUUAAGGAGUUUGAAUUCAAGUCAAAGGUGGAGGUUUGUUGAGUUUUAGGUUGAUUAGAAUUCUAAAUCUUAUUUGAUUAUGAUUUUUGUUUGUGUACAACAUUGAGUAGUUGUAUGAUUUUAAACUUUUUAUUCCACAUCGAAUCCUAAUCACAUUCUACUUUGGACUUUUAUACUAUAAAAGUGGAUUUCUAGGCUUUAGAAUUAAAAGUAGUGCUUUGAGAGCUCUAGAGAGGGAACAUCUUGUAACUCUAUCUUUUGCUCUAGGUGGAACUAGAGUGGUUUGAGUGAAUGUUCUUGGGAGGUUAUUGAGGAAGAGUGUGCAAGGGAUCUUUGGUUGUUUUGGGGAACCAUAAAGGUCAAUUUAUUGUACUUUAAAUUCUCAAUAAUAGAAGAACAGUUUCACUCCGUGGACGUAGGCAAGAGGCCGAACCACGUAAAUUCUUGUGUUUUUCUGUUUGCUUAUUUUCUCUGGAUUUUAUCUUUGUUGAUUCUUGGGCAAUUUCCACAACAAAGAAGAACAUAACAAGUAGUAACAAAAAUGAAAAAAAGAAGAAUAUAAUUUAUGGUUCGUUGAAAAUUGAAAAAGAAAAUCAAUAGAAACUUAGAAUAUAUGAACAAAUAGAAUAGAAUUGAAAAAUAUAAAUAAAAAAAUAAAAAAAAAUUUACCUCAUUGUAAUUUUAUAAUGAAAGGACAAAAAAAGAGAGAGAGGGAAAAGGGCGUGGAGAAAUUUAAAGAGUAAAUUUGAAUAAGGAUGGUAGGAUCAUUUUAUUGUCUUUUAUUUUUCUUAAUUAUUUAAUAAAAAAUUAUUUUAAAGAAGUCAUUAAAAAAAUAUAUAAUAUAUAAAAAUUUUUAAAAUUUUUGGACCAUAAGAUAGGGACGCUGAACUUUAUAACAUGAACACAGUCGUCACUCAAAAGCUUGUGGCUGGAAUGCAGUUUAGGAGAGGAUAACAUUUUCCAAAUGGAUAAACCUUACUUUUUUUUGUCUCCAUAGUUGUUUUCGCAUAAAGACAUGAGCUUCAACUUCAAAGGUCGAAAAACCUCUCAUAUUCAGAUGGAGAAAGCACAAUUUAAGAGUCAUUAUUUUCAUAUAGCAUAUCUUGUAUGUUAUAAUUGAUGUAGUAAUUGACAGCUCAACCAAACGUAAAUAGGAACAUGAAAAAAGUAGCUUGACGGUUGCAUGCAGGGAUUUAACAGGUAUGACUUGCCCCAAAAAAGAAUCACUUCGAUCAGCGUGGACCCAAGGUUGAGGGAGGCAGCUCGAAACCGGAAAUACAUGUUAAUUUCGAAAGAUUAAACAUUUUAAUAAUAACUUUGUUAUAAAUAAAUAUUAAAAGUUUGGAUAUUGACUUGAUCUUACAAAGAAAUUAAAAUCAUAAUUUUUUUUUAAAAAAAGAAUAAACAACAUUUAAUCACCAAAAUUAUAUUAAAAUAUUAACUAACAUUAUAUUAUCAUUUUUUCAAUUGAGAAAAUGAGGGAUUUGAAUUUCAUUCUUUAAAUAAGGGAUAUAUACACCUUCCAUUAAAUGCUUGGAUGUUACAUCAAUUUUUGAAUAUAAUAAUAUUUUUUUAAUUUAAUAUAAAAUAUGCUAAAAUAAAAGAUUUUUUAAAAUUUUCUUGAAAACUAAAUAAAAAUAAAGAAAAUAAGAUGAAAAGAGUAUUAGUUUAAUUGGAUUAAAUCUAUGCAAUUAAAAAUAACCAUGAAAAUCAUGUGUUAUCUAUUACACAAUGUAUAUAUAUAUAUACUUUGUUUGAAAUCCAAAUCCUCUCUUUCAAGUAUUUAAAUUUCCAAAUGUAACUUAAAAGAACGUAGUUAGAAAUUUGGCAAGCAAAAUAAAUAUAUGUUGUAAUUUAUUAAAUAAAUACAUAAUUAUACUACUAUAUAUAAGCAAAAUAACAUAAGCUCAAAAACUUAUCCAUGAUGUCAUGUCCUUCAUCAUCGUCAAUGGUCAUUCUCUUGCUUCAUUAACUCCAUUGAAUCUGCCAACGGUACCUAAGUUAGUCAAUGUGGCAUUUUCUUUUUCCAAAUUUUCACUUGCAUCUUUUCUUCUAUUCUAUCAACGUCUUUGUUAAUGUUAUUAAUUUCAUGGUAAUGUUUGUCUCUUUUCCUUAUGUUAAAUGAAGCAGACUUAUAUAUCAAUCAUAAUUUAGUUAUAUUUUCAAGUAAAAUUAAUCACAAAUAAUUUCAAAUCACAAAAAAAAUAUGUGAUUCAACUGCCAUUUAAUUAAUUUUAAUUUGGUGGAUACCUACUUCUUUCUCAACCACAGAAAAUAUGUACUGCUACAAGUGGACUCAACCCUUCCAAUUAUUUUCCUGUAAUUAUUAUUAAAUCUUAUCGAUGGAUGAAAGGUUGAGAAGUGCAACACAAUCAGAAAAUAUAGAUGUGAUUAUUAGAUUAUAAAUUUUUUUUCUUAUUCAUAAAGUAAUAUGAUAGAAAACACCUCUAAUUCAAAAGAUCCCUUGAAGAUGGGAGACUCCGGGAGGGAAGAAUCUUUCAUCCUUAUCAGUUUGAGUUUUGCCCAGGGCAUUCAAUGGAACUUUUGAAUAUUUUACAGCCACAAGUGCUAUCCAGCCUCCAAUAUAAAUUUUAAAACCAGAAUAAAGUAAAGAGAGAGAGAGUUGUCAUCUUAGAAGAUUUUUUUAUGUACGAGUACUUUUUUCCCACGAAAACUCCUUUAUUCUGCCUUUUCUGUUUUUUAAUCUUUCCUGAUUCACUGAAAUUGACUACACAGCACAAAGGUUUUUCCUUGUGAGUUCGUCAAUUGCUGUGCACCAUCUCUUUACUCUUUCAAUUGCUGUUUUAGCUACAUUCUAGUAAGACUAAGCCCUUACUACCUAUCAAUUUAUCAUUGUUCUAAGCCUUCUCAUCGCACUUUGUUUACCGGAAGGAUGGGAGGUGCUCAACUAUUUAUUUUUAAGUGAAUUUCUUCCAUGCUCUCUUAGUUACUCUUUUCUAUUUUCCGCUUGUCAUUGUCAUUUCGCGCUCUUGACAUGUAUGAAAGUUUGAGUAGAGCUGCUCACGAAGGAAAUAUUGUUGAAUUGUAUGCAUCAAUCCGAAGAGAUGGAGAUGUUUUAAGGAAAAUUGAUGAGAUGCAGUUCAUUGACACUCCAUUACACAUAGCUGCAGCUGAAGGGUGCAUUGAUUUUGCAAUGGAGAUAAUGAUCUUAAUGCCGUCAUUCGCUAGGAAGCUAAACCAAGAAGGCUUUAGUCCCAUUCACGUCGCAGUGGAAAAGGGGCAUAAAGAGCUGGCGCUACAUCUCAUAGAAAAUGAUAAAAAUCUUGUUCGUGUCAAAGGGAAGCAGGGUGAGACUCCUUUGCACUAUGCAAUACCUAGAGAACAAAAUUUUGAUCUCUUGGCCAGAUUUCUUGAGGCUUGUCCUGAAAGCAUCCGGGAUAUGACAACUACAAACCA
Molecule: long non-coding RNA, 87504 nt
Filed under: Theobroma cacao (cacao)
Lineage: Eukaryota; Viridiplantae; Streptophyta; Magnoliopsida; Malvales; Malvaceae
Description: long non-coding RNA (TCAC_LNC005759)
Source: RNAcentral